This 68245-nucleotide long non-coding RNA is filed under the name Triticum aestivum (bread wheat). RNAcentral describes it as "long non-coding RNA (TAES_LNC000807)". The record is from RNAcentral. Lineage: Eukaryota; Viridiplantae; Streptophyta; Magnoliopsida; Poales; Poaceae.
AACUGUUGCGGCAGCCAUGCUUGUGAGCUUAUGAUGUGCCGCUAGUUUAGUUUGUCGGUUUCUGUGAACCGUUCUCUGUGAUGUAUGAUGUAUUGCUGCUGUUAGCUGUAAAUGUGUUGUAUGAUGAGUUGACUUGAUGGUUCGUUUGAGGCUGUCUUGUGAAGGUUACUGUUAGUUAACAUGAGUUAAACAAAUACAUACACUUGCUGCUGUUAGCUGUAAACAUGAGUUGACUUGAUGGUUCGUUUGAGGCUGUCUUGUGAAGGUUACUGCUAGUUAACAUGAGUUAAACUAUUACAUGCACUGGGACCCAUUUGACUAGUGGACCCAUUUAAUAAAAAUAAAAAUGAAAUUGUUUAGACAAAAAGGCCACGGCCCAACAAUAAAAAAGGCUGCAACGUUGGGCUUGGCCCAUGAAGUCGACCAAAAAUUAACAGAAAAAGGCUGAAUUGUUGGGCUCGGCCCAUCUAAAGCAGCGAAAUGGACCGGGCUGAUUCUUAUCAACGACCUUUUCAUUUGGUCGCAAUUUUGCCACGUCAGAUUGCCACGUCGGAUCCGACGGGGCCUGGGCAGAGAGCUAGCGACCAAAAUAGAAGGUCACAGAAUCAACGACCUUUUGUUUUGGUCGUGGAAUUCCACGACAUUCUCAAAGAGAAGGUCGUUAAUUUCAAUUUACGACCGCCAGCUUUUGACCAUCUAUUUUUGGUCAAAAAAAGGUCGCAAAUGAAAAUCAAUGACCUUUCAGUGACCAAUAGUGAGGAUUGCAAGUUGACAUAUUUCUUGUAGUGAAUUCCGGAUAACUUCAUAAUAUAUUAUGAAGCCUCUGCUUGGCUCAAUGGAUAGGCGUACAAGUCGCCGCCACUGUGUUUUGAUUAACUUCAACAACCAGUUGGGAUGAAUCAUCAGCUGGGUUAUUGACACAGCCCAUACGGGAUCAUUUAUAACCCGCCGAGGGUUCCGCUGUUUAACAAUAUGUCGGUUUAUAUCACGGUCAAGUAUGGAGAAUCUCAAGACAACUCCUCGAGUCGUCUUAAGACUCGGGGGCUACAAUGACAUGACUCAGCAAAUCCUGCCAGCUUCAGCUAAUUCAAGAACCCCGGGUCAUUGGAGGGAAGAUAACCCGGUCCCAGAGGCUACUGCUAUAUUGAUGAAAAUUUAAAGGCCGUCAGAAAAUUCCUGGCUUAAAAUGAAGAAUUCGGGAUUAAAAUCCAGCUCAAGGGAAAUCUAUCUCUCAUAAAGCUUUGAAGCUCUCAACAUCCGGUUUAAAAUUCCGGUUCAAAAAGAAUCCUUCUCUCGCAAGUUCGAGUUCAAGAAAAAUUAAAGGUUGCCAAAGAGAACUCGCUACCAUGAUGCGCGGUUCAAACAUGGGUAUCCUGCCUUAUUGGCUUAUCACAUUAUUGAUCACUUGGGGGCUUGCUGCUCAUUGAGCAUAGCUAUGACUACCUUCUUAAUCCGGCUUGUACGCCAUGAUUACAAAAUACUUGGGGGCUUCCUGCUCAUUGAGCAUAGCUGUGAUUACCCUAUUGAUAACCCACUUGGAGACUUGAUGCCCGGGUUAAAGGUACCAAAGAGAGUCUAUUGCAGAGCACAGCUCAAACAUAGGUACCCUGCUUUGAUGGCUCAAUAUAUAUCACUUGGGGGCUCCCUGUUCAUUGUAACAUAGCUUUGGUAACCAUUUUGAUUGGCUUGAAACGCCAGGUGUAUACACCAAAAAAUUUCAGUUGAUCCUGCCUUUUACGUCUGCCACUUCGCUCAGGUAAUCCUGGAAUGACCCACCGAACUCUUAACAGUCAAUCUUAUUAAGACCCUGAACUUGUCAAGGUUAAAACGGCGGUUGGUCAUGUGAGGCCCGACUUAUAAGGUUUGAAUGAAGGAUUAACUUAGCGGUUGUGCAAGCCUAUGAAAAGCACUUGAUGAUUGAGGCCUGGCCGCCUAUGAAAGCCUUGAUUUUUUGUUAUUUGUUUUUGAACGAUGUUUGAGUUCAUACCUUUUUUGAUAUAUGGUUUAAACUGAUUCAGGCCAUGUAGCCUUAAUCCUUAUGACUCGUAUUUGAGCAUAUUUGGGGUUUGAUAACCCAGCCUGGCUUUGGAUGAUAAGUCGCCAGUAUGCUUUGAUUGUGCGCUGAUGUCUACUACGCAACCUUCUUCUUGUAGACGUUGUUGGGCCUCCAAGUGCAGAGGUUUGUAGGACAAUAGCAAAUUUCCCUCAAGUGGAUGACCUAAGGUUUACCAAUCCAUGGGAGGCGUACGAUGAAGAUGGUCUCUAUCAAACAACCCUGCAACCAAAUAACAAAGAGUCUCUUGUGUCCCCAACACACCCAAUACAAUGGUAAAUUGUAUAGGUGCACUAGUUCGGCGAAGAGAUGGUGAUACAGGUGCAAUAUGGAUGGUAGAUAUAGGUUUUUGUAAUCUGAAAAUAUAAAAACAGCAAGGUAACUAAUGAUAAAAGUGAGCACAAACGGUAUUGCAAUGAUAGGAAACAAGGCCUAUGGUUCAUACUUUCACUAGUGCAAUUUCUCUCAACAAUAAUAACAUAAUUGGAUCAUAUAACUAUCCCUCAACAUGCAACAAAGAGUCACUCCAAAGUCACUAAUAGCGGAGAACAAAUGAAGAGAUUAUGGUACGGUACAAAACCACCGCAAAGUUAUUCUUUCCGAUCAAUCCAUUGUGCUAUUCAUAUAAGUGUCACAAACAGCCCUAGAGUUCGUAGUAAAAUAACACCUUAAGACACACAUCAACCAAAACCAUAAUGUCACCUAGAUACUCCAAUGUCACCUCAAGUAUCCGUGGGUAUGAUUAUACGAUAUGCAUCACACAAUCUCAGAUUCAUCUAUUCAACCAACACAUAGAACCUCAAAGAGUGCCCCAAAGUUUCUAUCGGAGAGUCAAGACGAAAACGUGUGCCAACCCCUAUGCAUAGGUUCAUGGGCAGAACCCGCAAGUUGAUCACCAAAGCAUACAUCAAGUGAAUCAAUAGAAUAACCCAUUGUCACCACGGUUAUCCCACGCAAGACAUACAUCAAGUGUUCUCAAAUCAUUAAAGACUCAACCCGAUAAGAUAACUUCAAAGGGAAAACUCAAUCCAUUACAAGAGAGUAGAGGGGGAGAAACAUCAUAAGAUCCAACUAUAAUAGCAAAGCUCGCCAUACAUCAAGAUCGUGCCAAAUCAAGAACACGAGAGACAGAUCAAACACAUAGCUACUGGUACAUACCCUCAGCCCUGAGGGUGAACUACUCCCUCCUCGCCAUGGAGAGCGCCGGGAUGAUGAAGAUGGCCAGCGGUGAGGGAUCCCCCACCCCUCCGGAAGGGUGCCGGAACUGGGUCCCGAUUGGUUUUUGGUGGCUACAGAGGCUUGCGGCGGCGGAACUCCCGAUCUAUUCUGUUUUUCGAAGGUUUUUGGGUAUAUUGGUAUAUAUAGGAGGAAGAAAUACGUCAGGGGAGCCACGAGGGUGGAGGGCGCGCCCAGGGGGGUGGGCGCGCCCCCUGCCUCGUGCCCUCCUCGUUGAUUUCCUGACGUGCACUCCAAGUCCCCUGGAUUGCUUCCAUUCCAAAAAUAACUUUCCCAAAGGUUUCAUUCCGUUUGGACUCCAUUUGAUAUUCCUUUUCUGCGAAACACUGAAACAAGGGAAAAACAGAAACUGGCACUGGGCUCUUGGUUAAUAGGUUAGUCCCAAAAAUAAUAUAAAAGUGUUUAAUAAAGCCCAUAAACAUCCAAAACAGAUAAUAUAAUAGCAUGGAACAAUCAAAAAUUAUAGAUACGUUGGAGACGUAUCAGCAUCCCCAAGCUUAAUUCAUGCUCGUCCUCGAGUAGGUAAAUGAUAAAAACAGAAUUUUUUAUGUGGAAUGCUACCUAACAUAAUUAUCAAUGUAAUCUUUUUUAUUGUGGCAAGAAUAUUCAGGUCCAUGAGAUUCAAGACAAAAGUUUAAUAUUGACAUAAAAAUAAUAAUACUUCAAGCAUACUAACUAAGCAAUCAUGUCUUCUCAAAGUAACAUGGCCAAAGAAAGUUCAUCCCUACAAAAUCAUAUAGUUUGGUCAUGCUCCAUUUUCAUCACACAAGAAUGCUCUCGUCAUGCACAACCCCGAUGACAAGCCAAGCAAUUGUUUCAUACUUUAGUAAUAUCAAAAUUUUCAACCUUCACGCAAUACAUGAGCGUGAGCCAUGGAUAUAGCACUAUGGGUGGAAUAGAAUAUGAUGAUGGGGGUUAUGUGGAGAAGACAAAAAAGGAGAAACUCUCACAUUGACGCCGCUAAUCAACGGGCUAGGGAGAUGCCCGUCAAUUGAUGUCAAUGCAAGGAGUAGGGAUUGCCAUGCAACGAAUGCACUAGAGCUAUAAAUGUAUGAAAGCUCAACAAAAGAAACUAAGUGGGUGUGCAUCCAACUUGCUUGCUCAUGAAGACCUAGGGCACUUGAGGAGGCCCAUUGUUCGAAUAUACAAGCCAAGUUCUAUAAUCAAAAAUUCCCACUAGUAUAUGAAAAUGACAAAACAAGAGACUCUCUAUCAUGAAGAUUCUGGUGCUACUUUGAAACACAAGUGUGGUAAAAUGAUAGUAACAUUGUCCCUUCUCUCUUUUUCUCUCAUUUUUUUGGGCCUUCUCUUUUUUUAUGGCCUUUCUCUCUCUUUUUUUUAUAGUCCUCACUUGGGACAAUGCUCUAGAAAAUGAUGAUCAUCACACUUCUAUUUAUUUACAACUCAAUGAUUACAACUCGAUACUAGAACAAAGUAUGACUCUAUAUGAAUGCCUCCGGCGGUGUACCGGGAUAUGCAAUGAACCAAGAGUGACAUGUAUGAAAGAAUUAUGAAUGGUGUCUUUGCCACAAAUACUAUGUCAACUACAAGAUCAUGCAAAGCAAUAUGACAAUGAUGAACGUGUCAUGAUAAACGGAACGGUGGAAAGUUGCAUGGCAAUAUAUCUCGGAAUGGCUAUGGAAAUGCCAUAAUAGGUAGGUAUGCUGGCUGUUUUGAGGAAGAUAUAAGGAGGUUUAUGUGUGAAAGAGCAUAUCAUAUCACGGGGUUUGGAUGAACCGGCGAAGUUUGCACCAACUCUAAAUGUGAGAAAGGGCAAUGCACGGUACCGAAGAGGCUAGCAAUGAUGGAAAGGUGAGAGUGCGUAUAAUCCAUGCACUCAACAUUAGUCAUCAAGAACUCACAUACUUAUUGCAAAAAUCUACAAGUCAUCAAAAACCAAGAACUACGUGCAUGCUCCUAGGGGGAUAGAUUGGUAGGAAAAGACCAUCGCUCGUCCCCGACCGCCACUCAUAAGGAAGACAAUCAAGGAACACCUCAUGUUUCAAAUUUGUUACAUAACGUUUACCAUACGUGCAUGCUACGGGACUUGCAAACUUCAACACAAGUAUUUCUCAAAUUCACAACUACUCAACUAGCACAACUUUAAUAUCACUACCUCCAUAUCUCAAAACAAGCAUCAAGUAUCAAACUUCUCUUAGUAUUCAGUGCACUUAUAUGAAAGUUUUUAUUAUACCCAUCUUGGAUGCCCAUCAUAUUAGGACUAGUUACAUAACCAAAGCAAACUACCAUGCUGUUCUAAAGACUCUCAAAAUAAUAUAAGUGAAGAAUGAGAGUUCAUCUAUUUCUUCAAAAUAAAACCACCGCCGUGCUCUAAAAGGAUAUAAGUGAAGCACUAGAGCAAAUGACAAACUACUCCGAAAGAUAUAAGUGAAGAUCAAUGAGUAGUCGAAUAAUUAUACAACUAUGUGAAGACUCUCUAACAUUUAAGAAUUUCAGAUCUUGAUACUUUAUUCAAACAAAAAGCAAAACAAAAGAAAAUAAAAUGACGCUCCAAGCAAAACACAUAUCAUGUGGUGAAUAAAAAUAUAGCUCCAAGUAAAGUUACCGAUGAACGAAGAGGAAAGAGGGGAUGCCAUCCGGGGCAUCCCCAAGCUUAGGCUCUUGGUUGUACUUGAAUAUUACCUUGGGGUGCCUUGGGCAUCCCCAAGAUUAGGCUCUUGCCACUCCUUAUUCCAUAGUCCAUCGAAUCUUUACCCAAGACUUGAAAACUUCACAACACAAAACUUAACAGAAAACUCGUAAGCUCCGUUAGCGAAAGAAAACAAAAAACCACUUCAUGGUACUGUAAUGAAAUCAUUCUUCAUUUAUAUUGGUGUUAAACCUACUGUAUUCCAACUUCUCUAUGGUUUAUAAACUAUUUUACUAGCCAUAGAGUCAUCAAAAUAAGCAAACAACACACGAAAAACAGAAUCUGUCAGAAAUAGAACAGUCUGUAGUAAUCUGUAACUAACGCAAACUUCUGGAACUCCAAAAAUUCUAAAAUAAAUUUUUGGACCUGAGGAAUUUGUCUAGUAAUCAUCUGCAAAAAGAAUCAACUAAAUAGCACUCUCCAGUAAAAAGUUUAGCUAAUCUCGUGAGCGCUAAAGUUUCUGUUUUUUUACAGCAUGCUCAUAAAGACUUCACCCAAGUCUUCUCAAAUGUUCUACUUGGCACAAACACUAAUUAAAACACAAAACCACAUCUAAACAGAAUCUAGAUGGAUUAUUUAUUCCUAAACAGAACCAAAAAGUAAGAAACUAAAAUUAAGUUGGGUUGCCUCCCAACAAGCGCUAAUGUUUAACGCCCCUAGCUAGGCAUGAUGAUUUCAAUGAUGCUCACAUAAAAGAUAAGAAUUGAAACAUAAAGAGAGCAUCACGAAGGAUAUGACUAGCACAUUUAAGUCUAACCCACUUCCUAUGCAUAGGGAUUUUGUGAGCAAACAACUUAUGGGAACAAUAAUCAUCUAGCAUAGGAAGGCAAAACAAGCAUAACUUCAAAACUUUAAGCACAUAAAGAGGAAACUUGAUAUUAUUGCAAUUCCUACAAGCAUAUGUUCUUCCCUCAUAAUAGUUUUCAGUAGCAUCAUGAAUGAAUUCAACAAUAUAACCAGCACCUAAAGCAUUCUUUUCAUGAUCUACUUGCAUAGAAAUUUUACUACUCUCAUAAGCAAAAUUCUUCUCAUUCCGAAUAGUGGGAGUAUCAUAAGAGACUUGAAUACUAUAAAUUGUUUCCACAUUAAAAGAGUAAUGUUCAGAAAAAGGGUAAUCAGAAUCAUGACAAGUUUUAUAAAUAUAAUCAUCACUACUUUUUAUAGCAUAAGUUUCAUCACAAUAAUCAGCAUAAGUAGCAACUGUGUUCUCAUCAUAAUCAAUUGAAACCUCUUCCGAAAUAGUGGAUACAUCACUAAAUAAAGUCAUGACCUCUCCAAAUCCACUUUCAUAAAUAUUAAAAGAUUCAACACCCUCCAAAAUAGUGGGAUCAUUACUUCCUAAAGUUGACACUCUUCCAAACCCACUUUCAUCAAUAUAGUCAUCAUAAGUAGGAGGCAUGCUAACAUCAUAACAAAUUUGCAUAUCAAAACUUGGGAGGCUAAAAAUAUCAUCUUCAUCAAACAUAGCUUCCCCAAGCUUGUGGCUUUGCAUAUCAUUAGCAUCAUGGAUAUUCAUAGAAUUCAUACUAACAACAUUGCAAUCAUGCUCAUCAUUCAAAUAUUUAGUGCCAAAAAUUCUAAUGCAUUCUUCCUCUAGCAAUUGAGCACAAUUAUCGGAAUCCUUAUUUUCAUGAAAGAUAUUAAAAAGAUGAAGCAUAUGAGGUACCCUCAAUUCCAUUUUUUUGUUGUUUUCUUUUAUAGACUAAACUAGUGAUAAGGCAAGAAACUAAAAGAUUCGAUUGCAAGAUCUAAAGAUAUAACUUCAAGCACUCACCAUCCCGGCAACGGCACCAGAAAAGAGCUUGAUGUCUACUAAGCAACCUUCUUAGUGUAGACGUUGUUGGGCCUCCAAGUGUAGAGGUUUGUAGGACAGUAGCAAAUUUCCCUCAAGUGGAUGACCUAAGGUUUAUCAAUCCGUCGGAGGCGUAGGAUGAAGAUGGUCUCUCUCAAACAACCCUGCAACCAAAUAACAAAGAGUCUCUUGUGUCCCCAACACACCCAAUACAAUGGUAAAUUGUAUAGGUGCACUAGUUCGGCGAAGAGAUGGUGAUACAAGUGCAAUAUGGAUGGUAGAUAUAGGUUUUUGUAAUCUGAAAAUAUAAAAACAGCAAGGUAAGUAAUGAUAAAAGUGAGCACAAACGGUAUUGCAAUGAUAGGAAACAAGGCCUAGGGUUCAUACUUUCACUAGUGCAAGUUCUCUCAACAAUAAUAACAUAAUUGGAUCAUAUAACUAUCCCUAAACAUGCAACAAAGAGUCACUCCAAAGUCACUAAUAGCGGAGAACAAAUGAAGAGAUUAUGGUAGGGUACGAAACCACCUCAAAGUUAUUCUUUCCGAUCAAUCCAUUGGGCUAUUCCUAUAAAUGUCACAAACAGCCCUAGAGUUCGUAGUAAAAUAACACCUUAAGACACACAUCAACAAAAACCCUAAUGUCACCUAGAUACUCCAAUGUCACCUCAAGUAUCCGUGGGUAUGAUUAUACGAUAUGCAUCACACAAUCUCAGAUUCAUCUAUUCAACCAACACAUAGAACCUCAAAGAGUGCCCCAAAGUUUCUACCGGAGAGUCAAGACGAAAACGUGUGCCAACCCCUAUGCAUAGGUUCAUGGGCGGAACCCGCAAGUUGAUCACCAAAGCAUACAUCAAGUGAACCAAUAGAAUAACCCAUUGUCACCACGGUUAUCCCACGCAAGACAUACAUCAAGUGUUCUCAAAUCAUUAAAGACACAAUCCGAUAAGAUAACUUCAAAGGGAAAACUCAAUCCAUUACAAGAGAGUAGAGGGGGAGAAACAUCAUAAGAUCCAACUAUAAUAGCAAAGCUCGCGAUACAUCAAGAUCAUGCCAAAUCAAGAACACAAGAGAGAGAGAUCAAACACAUAGCUAUUGGUACAUACCCUCAGCCCCGAGGGUGAACUACUCCCUCCUCGUCAUGGAUAGCGCCGGGAUGAUGAAGAUGGCCACCGGUGAGGGAUCCCCCCCCCCUCCGGCAGGGUGCCGGAACAGGGUCCCGAUUGGUUUUUGGUGGCUACAGAGGCUUGCGGCGGCGGAACUCCCGAUCUAUUCUGUUUUUUGAAGGUUUUUGGGUAUAUUGGUAUAUAUAGGAGGAAAAAAUACGUCAGGGGAGCCACGAGGGGCCCAGGAGGUGGGCGCGCCCCCUGCCUCAUGCCCUCCUCGUUGAUUCCCUGACGUGCACUCCAAGUCCCCUGAAUUGCUUCCGUUCCAAAAAUAACUUUCCCGAAGGUUUCAGUCCGUUUGGACUCCGUUUGAUAUUUCUUUUCUGCGAAACACUGAAACAAGGGAAAAACAGAAACUGGCACUGGGCUCUUGGUUAAUAGGUUAGUCCCAAAAAUAAUAUAAAAGUGUUUAAUAAAGCCCAUAAACAUUCCAAACAGAUAAUAUAAUAGCAUGGAACAAUCAAAAAUUAUAGAUACGUUGGAGACGUAUCAUGCGCUUGGAGUUCUGUGCUCUAAGUUUUUGGGUUGUUACCCUUGCUGCGUAUGGCGCUGUAAGCCGGCUGUAUGAACCGAUUUCACAGGCCAUGUAGCCUUGAUUGUAUGACUCAUCAUGGAGCAUCUUUGGGUUUGAUAACCCGCCCUGAUAGCGGAUGUUGAGUCGCCAAGAUAUCUUUGCAUUGAGCAAUCAAAAUUAUGAUAUUACAUGCCUACGGGUCAAUACCCGUGACGGAUUAUAAUUAUUGAGGUAUCACCAGGAUGUCAAUCUCCAGGUAUGUUUUUCAAUAAUGGUAUGAAUAUUUUGGGUUUGGUAACCCGCCCUGGCUAUGGACUUUAAGUUUCUAGAAUACUUUGGAUUGCGCAAUUGGGAUUAUGCGCUUAUGAAUACUUGGGAUGUGGCUAUGUAAGCCGGCAAUUUGAGCCAAAUUUCUAGGUAUGUUUUUAAAUUGUUGGAUGAAUAUGUGAGGUUUGAUAACCCGCCCUGGCUUUGGACAUUAAGUCGCCAGUAUAUUUUGGAUUGCACCAUUGGAAUCAUGCGCUUAUAAAUUAUUGGAUUGUUACCCUCACUGGAUAUGGCGAUGUACGCCAGCGGUAUAAAUCAAUCCUACAGGUAUGUUUUCCUGGUUAUAUGAAUAUACGAGGUUUGAUAACCCGCCCUAGCUUUUGACUUUAAGUCGCCAGUAUGUUUAGGCUUGAAUGUCCUUGCUUAGUCUUUUCGGUAAUUACAUAAGACUAUAUUAUGUUUGGGUUGUUGCCCGCCCUGGCUUUUGACGUUAAGUCGCCAGGGCAUAUGUUGUUUAAACUGUGUAGAACAUGCAGAGCUUUACACAUAAGUAAGAAUACUGCUAUUGCUCAUAUGAAUCAUUGCGUUUAAACCCAUCAUCUGGCCAUCUGAAGAUAUUGCCGGGUUAUCCGGCUCCGGGCUAUAUUGUUCAAUAUUGAGUUUAUUGAGGCUAUGAGCUGCCAAAGUGAUCUUGUCAAAAACUGGACAUGAUUAUGAGCCGCCAUGGAUGGGGUUAUCAAUUCUUGAUUUUUACAAAGGCUAUAAGCCGCUGGAUUGCAAAGUCCCGGAUUACAAUGGAUGCGCAUUAAGUCGCCAUCGACCAAGAGCCGCCGGGUAUUUAAAUUCCGGAUUUACUUGUCAAACAGAUAAGGUAUUCAAAUCUUUAAUAGCCAAACUUGGCUGGAGUUUCAUUAUAAUAUUGAAUGAUUGAGGUUUUCAUACCGGAUUAUAUGACCCGGCCGGACAUGGCGCCUCACCAGAAACCCGGUUGAUACUUGGCGACUCACUAGAGACCCGCCCGAACCUCAGCGACUCAUUAGUAACCCGGCGGGCGGGUCAGACGAUCGACAAGACCCAACGGCCCAGAAGGCGACUCGUGGGAAGGCCGGCUCGUGUUAUGGUGGGCCGGCUUAAGAUGAAAGGCUAAAGAAUAUUCUCCUAGAAAGAAAGCAAGACUAGGACUGCACUUGUAAUAGAGUAGUCCUAGUCCUACUAGGACUCCACAUGUAACCCGCCCCUCCAACUUAGAUAAGGAGGGACAGGGCACCCCAAGAGGGACAAGUUUUCACGAGUUGGACAAGUUAGGGUUAGACAGACAAGUCUAUAGCUAUCGAGAUAGAGCACCCUUGUAAUCGUGAUCAUCAUCAUCAAUAUCAAUGAAGCAGGAUGUAGACUUUUACCUCCACCGUGAGGGCCGAACUUCGGUAAAAAACCUCGCGUCUCUCGCCCCACUCAACCCCUCUCAAGCUACCACAUAGAUGCGUUGGCUUCAUGACUAAGUCCUCAUACUAGGACAUCUGCCGUGACAAAUCCACGACAAGAUUCAAGUGGAGGCAACAUGUGGUGCACAUCGAAAGUUUGGAUUAGUAGUAUAGCUUCGAGAUGCACCACAUGCUGCCUCCACUUGAACCUAAUCCACCUCCAUUUCACACACUGUUAUGGACAUAAUGAUAUAUCAACCUCAUAAUUGGUCCUGUAUACAAAUUUGUACAACGGCGUAUAAAUACACUAAAAGUAAAAAAAUAAAAAACAGUAUACUGGUAGCGCUGGACCGGAAACACGCUACUACUAGCUAGUUAGAUUAGCAGUAGCGUGUGUUGCACGGGCUACUGCUAAGGAAUAGCUGUAGCGCCUUACUAGUAGUGCGGUGACACGCGCUACUAGUAGAUCAACGUCUUCAGUGGCAUGUUCAGCAGCUGGAUCUUCUCCGCGGUGGUCGGCACUACCAUCGGGUUCCAGGUGAUCCUCGUGGAGUUGUUGGGCACGGUUCACCUGAACGGGAGGCUGUGACUCAUGAGUGUGUUGAUCGGGUCGGUCAGCCUGGUUAUCGGCGCCGUCCUCAAGUGCAUCCCUGUUGGUUCCGGCAACGCCUCGUCCGAUCGUCACGACGGAUACCAGCCCAUCCCCACCGGCCCUAGUGCCAUGUGAUUUUGAAGAAGUUUUGGUUGGUUUGUUUAGGAAAGGGGAAGAUGUAUGAAUCUUUUAGAAUCAAACUUUGCAGCUUCAGUUUUUUGUAGGAGGUACCGGAACAAUUUUUUUGGAUUGAGAAAACCGGACAUACUUGUGGUAAUGACGGUUCUGAGAAAUUUAAGUUUCUAUUUUUUUUCGUUGUUUUUGUUUUGUGCUUUCUAGCCAAAUAGGACUAUGGAUUUCCAUUGUAGGAUUACUAUGCAAUGAUAAAUGCAGUUGCUUACUAUCUAGUAUCUAUACACAAAUCUUCACAUUUAGGGUUAUACUCAUGCGGGUGACAUGUGAUUUCUGGAAGAUGUUCUUUUUAUUUAUUUUUCCUUUUGGAGGAAAAGAAUGUAGUGUUAAAUGAACUUUUAAGUACAGUUUGAGCUUUUUCCCCACUCAGGCAAAUGAAGUUUCUGAAAUUUUAUUGUAGAAUCCUUAUAAACAACAAAAAAAAACUGAACCAUGCAGGAGACUUACAUGUACUCCCUCCAUUUCAAAAUAUACGGUGUAUUAGUUUUUUCAAAAAUAAAACAUGUGCAAGCUUGACCAAGGUUUAAGAAAAAAUUAUCAAUAUUUACAAUACCAAAUUUGUAGCAUUAGAUCCUUCACUAAACAAAUUCAUAUUUUCUUUAUUUGGUUUUGUAGAAGUUCAUAUUUUAUUCUAUAAUCUUGGUCGAACAUAUAUAAGUUUGACUUGCACGAACCUGAUUCACCUUAUAUUCCGGAACGGAGGAAGUAAUUCGGUAAUAAAGAGAUCAGUACAACGCCAAAGAUGGCACAACCGUUACAUCGCCAACACCAUGACCAAACUACGACACUUACAUCACCAACAAUGGCGCAACCUAAACAACACAAUGAGAAUGACCCAAUACAACUCGGACUAGGGCAAGCGUCCAACACCAGGCAUAAAGAACAGAGAAAGAUCCUCUGCAAGAGCCUGCACAAUAGCCCGACACAACACUACCCCAACGACGACUACCACGUCAACGAUUACUGACGUACAAGCAAUACUAUUUGCAGCAACAUAGGCAUGACGUCACGAAUACAAGAGUCCACCUCAGGCUGUAAGUGGGACGCUCCGCGGGAGGCCCGCGUCCGCCCCACAUCUGCCGCGUAGAUUAAGUGGAAUUCCCGUUAAAGCCUGCAUAUUAUUAUGUGGGAUAUGUGGGUUUAGUAGGAUACCCACAAAAUUCAUACAGAUGCUUCUGUUGAAAGUCAACUUGAGGUGGUGAGCUACAAUGACUGGUUCGUCGGGAGCUCGAACAGCUCGUGUGCAUGAUGCGCACGUACAGCCGGCAUGCCUUGGCCUUGCCCUAGUGCUCUUGUGCCGUCGAUGGAGCCUCUUGGAGCAAGAAAGACUGCUCGCUGAAACAAACCCAACAGUUCAGAUCGCUGAAUCAACUACUCCCUCCGUUCGGAGUCAUUUUUGUGACAAGUAAUUCCGAACUGAAGGAGUAGUAACUAAUAGCCAUACAUUUACAAGUUUUCAGUAGAGUAGCAUUUAUAUACCAGGUUAACACCUCACACAUACACAAACACAGACACAAAUACAAGCGUCCAUGGCUGGACGCGGCGCGGCAGCCGGUGCUGGCGAUGCACGGAGACAGGCUGUCGACGUGGCCGUCCAACAGGCCGCGGCCCUCACGGACACCGACGAGCAGGCCUCGGUUCCACGGACGUCGCACACAGGAGUACGUCCUCGAGCCUGCAGGACCGUCGGCGAGCGCGCCCGGCGGCCGGAAGCUGCGACGGAGGUAGACGGCGGCACUGCGGCGCCCACGGCGGAGAUGGGCGAUGACGCUAGUGCGGCCAUAGAGGAGGUCGACGGAGUCGCUAGGUCGUCCAUGGAGGAGGUGGACGACGAGGUAGGCCGGCCAUGGCUGGCGGCGACCCCUAAUCCCCGCAGCGUGUCCAGAUAAGUGGGUUCGAUGUGGGCAUCGUGGGAUAACCCACAUAUUCCACAUAUUGUGGUGUAUUGACCGUGGGUGUCCACGAACGCAAAAUAAACGGGCCUUUAAGUGGGCACCGCGGGUGGCCCGUGUCCACCUACAGCCUGAAGUCCACCAUUCCAACGCCGCCAGGCUAGCCUCCAUCCAGACCAUACAAGGAGAGUCAUGGGGGUGGGCAUGCAAAACCGGAGGGGGGCAGCGACGACCAACCAGGGGCGCUAGCGAGGAAAAGGCGACGCUCGCGCAAAACAAACACUGACUAUCACUAGCCUUCCAUCAACACCAGUCACCACGGGUCUCUCUCGAACUCUCCAUAGAAGACAGAACGCGAGAGGAAUCCCAGAGGCGUCCGUUUUCCCGGUCCUUCCGCCGGCGACCUCGCCGCUCCUCCUCGCCUCUGAUGGCCGUUUUGGCCUCAGCAGGAGGGGGGAGCUCCGGGGAAGCCCGGCCGUCUAGGUAGGUUCCAGGAGGCGCCGUUUAGAUGUCGGCGGCGGCACCGUGUCAGAAUAAAUGUCGCCUGGCUUCAGCCGUGUUUCGUCGGAGAUCUUGUCCCCGGCGAGAAGCCCAUGGGUGCGUGGUUCAUGUUGAGGAUAUGUGUUAUGUGCAUAUUGUGUAUUGGGCUGGCUUCCUAGUUCCUUGUAUAAUUGAGGUAUGUGGCUCAUCUUUGUAUAUCAUAUAUACGUGCCUAUGCACAAAGAGCAAUACAUCAUGCAAUUCACAUAUUCUAUAUAGUAUCAGUUUUUUAGGUUCUCUCGCUUCCGCUGCCGCCGCCGUCGUGCGUCUCCUCCGCGCCGCCGCCGCCGCCGCCCGAUCUCCUUGCCGCCAACAGUCAAUCCACGGCCGCCGCAGCCCUCUGCCACCCGUUCGCCGACGCCAACCCUCCCGACGUCAAUGACAUCCGCAACCUCAACAUCUUCGAGCGGGUGUCGGUUCGUCUUUCGCAGGCGAACUCCUCCUACUACACGUGGAAGACCUACUUUUCCCUCGUGUUUCGGGAGUAUCAUCUUGUUGAUCACGUGGACGGCACCGUCGACUCCAGCCUUGUCCCCGAUUUCCAUGAAUGGUCCACCAUCGACACCACGAUCAUCCGAUGGUUCUUCCUCACCAUCUCGCCAGACCCCUUCCAGGCGGUUGUCCAAGACGGUGAUGACGCAUGCGCCGUGUGGACCAACCUGAACGGGCUCUUCACCGACAACAAGCUCCAGCAUCGCGUUUUUUUUGCAGCAAGAGUUCUUUGGGUGUCACCAGGACAACACCUCCGUCGACGACUAUUGUCGCCGCCUGAAGACUCUCACUGACGAGCUCCGCGAUAUUGGCGCGAAAAUUGAUGAUGACCUCCUCCUCACCACGCUGACCGCCGGGCUCAACGAGGAUUUCGGCAACGCCGCGGCGAACCUCAGUCUCAUCCCCAACCCGUCCUUCGCCAAGUUCAUUGUGUACCUCCGCUUGGAGGAGCAGCGGAUGAAGCAGGUGAAGGCGCGGGCCAUCCACACCGCCCUCGCCGCCGGCACCACCCAUGGCGGGUCCUCGGCGCCUCCCGCUGCCCCGGCCGCGCCCCUGCCGCAGCGCCACCUGGCGCCGCUGCCGUACCCGGCGCCCCAGCAAUCGGGGCUGCUCCCGCUGCCUUAUGGGUCGCCCGCCCCUCCCGCAGAACGGCGCCGCGGGGGCCGGCGUGGUGGGGGCCACCGCGGCGGUCAGCAGCAGCAGCCGCAGGGCGCCGGCCAGCCCCGUCAGCAGCAGCAGCAGCAGUUCCAGGUGCCCCCUCCGUGGGCCUCCGGCUACAACCCGUGGACCAGUGUUGUUCAUACCCACACCAUGCCGGUUCCACGGGCUCCUGGACCGACCCUUCCCGUGCCGCGCCCGUCGGCGCAUCAGGCGUAUUACGCGGCUCCGCAGCCGUACGGAGGAUACCCACUGCUGCAGCUGAGCGGCGCCUACGGUCUUCCUGCGGCCCCGCCGCCGCCCUUGCCGGCCCUGCCGCCGGCGCCUUGGGAUCCGGUGCUCCUCGCUGCGCUGCACACCGCGCCUACGCCGAACAACUACACUGGAGGCGGUGAUUGGUACAUGGACACCGGGGCUACGGCUCACAUGUUUGCUUAUCCUGAUAAUCUUGCCUCCUUCACUCCCGUCACCACCGAUCGGCGCAUCAUUGUCGGCGACGGUUCCACACUCCCUAUCACACAUGUCGGGCACACUUCUUUUCCUUCUAAUUCCAUGCCUAUUACUUUGUCUAACAUACUACUGUCACCUCAUCUUAUUAAGAACCUUGUUUUCGUUCGUUGUUUAACUCGUGAAAAUCCUGUUACUGUUGAAUUUGAUGAGCCUGGUUUUUGUGUCAAGGACGCUCGAACCAGGAUGGUACUUCACCGAUGUGACAGCCUCGACGAGCUCUAUCCGGUGCAUCCGCCGUCCACACCGGUUGCUCUCUCCGCCGGUGUCAAUCUCUGGCACGCUCGUUUGGGUCAUCCCAACCCAGUCACACUUCGUCAUAUUCUUAGGAGUUUCAGUUUCAGUUGUAAUAAGAUAGAGGAUCACACCUGUCAUGUCUGUCGUGUCGGCAAACAUGUUCGCCUCCCAUUUAAUAACUCCACCACCAUAGCUUCUUUUCCUUUUCAGUUGAUUCAUAGCGAUGUGUGGACCUCUCCGGUUCCUAGUAAUUCGGGCUAUUUAUAUUAUCUGGUUAUCCUUGAUGAUUAUUCUCACUAUGUGUGGACGUUUUCUUUACGACGAAAGUCGGAUGCACUCUCCACUUUGUCGGCUUUUUACUCCUAUGUCAGCACGCAGUUGGGCAUCCCAUCCUUGCUCUUCAGACUGACCAUGGAAAAGAGUUCGACAACCUUGCUUUCCGCACCUUUCUGUCGCACCACGGCACAGUUUUUCGUCUCACAUGCUCGUAUACUUCAUAGCAGAACGGUCGAGCUGAACGCGUCCUUCGCACUCUGAACGACUGCGUUCGCACGCUCCUGUUCCAUGCUAAUGUGCCGCCUCGUUUCUGGCCAGACGCACUCUCUACUGCUUCAGUUCUCCUUAACCUUCGCCCUUGCCGCCCACGAUGGAACUAUGCACCUCACCAUCUUCUCUUCGGUACGCCCCCAUCUUAUGACGGCUUGCGUAUUUUCGGGUGCCUUUGCUAUCCUAGCACUGCCGACUCCGCUCCUCACAAACUCGCACCUCGUUCUAUCGCUUGCAUCUUCAUCGGCUACCCCUCCAACUCCAAGGGAUAUCGGUGCUACGAUCCCGUCUCCCACCGUGUGUUCACCUCCCGGCACGUUUACUUUGAUGAGCAUGUGUUUCCGUUUCAACAGGUACCCCCGGCUGUUCCUCCCGCCACCAGUGACGUGGGCUCCUCGACUCCUCUCCCAGGGCGCUCACACGCCUCUCUUGGCCCGCCCCUUGGCUUUGAGGCGCGCCCCCCGCAUGCAGCGGCUCCUACCGCCGCGGCACUAGCGCCCCCGACAUUGGCGCCCGCGGCCCCCCUGGCGCCCCUGGCGUCCCCGGCCCCCCGGCUCCCUCGGCGCCCCCGACGCCCCCGGUGCCCGCGGCCGGUCCGGUCACCCGCGCCCGAACGGGUUUUUUUCGCCCGAGCUCGCACUACGCCUCGGAUGAUUACGUCCAUGCGGCUGAUGACCCACAAGUAUCGGGGAUCUAUCGUAGUCCUUUCCAUAAGUAAGAGUGUCGAACCCAACGAGGAGCAGAAGGAAAUGAUAAUCAGUUUUCAGUAAAGUAUUCUCUGCAAGCACUGAAAUUAUCGGUAACAGAUAGUUUUGUGAUAAGAUAAUUGGUAACGAGCUAGUUUUCAUCACGCUCAUAUGAUUCGCGUUCGGUACUUUGAUAAUUUGAUAUGUGGGUGUACCGGUGCUUGGGUGCUGCCCUUACUUGGACAAGCGUCCCACUUAUGAUUAACUCCUAUUGCAAGCAUCUGCAACUACAAAAGAAGUAUUAAGGUAAACCUAACCAUAGCAUGAAACAUAUGGAUCCAAAUCAGCCCCUUACGAAGCAACGCAUAAACUUGGAUUUAAGCUUCUGUCACUCUAGCAACCCAUCAUCUACUUAUUACUUCCCAAUGCCUUCCUCUAGGCCCAAACAAUGGUGAAGUGUCAUUUAGUCCACGUUCACAUGACACCACUAGAGGAGAGACAACAUACAUCUCAUCAAAAUAUCAAACGAAAACCAAAUUCACAUGACUACUAAUAGCAAGACUUCUCCCAUGUCCUCAGGAACAAACGUAACUACUCACAAAUCAUAUUCAUGUUCAUAAUCAGAGGGGUAUUAAUAUGCAUUAAGGAUCUGAACAUAUAAUCUUCCACCAAGUAAACCAACAAGCAUCAACUACAAGGAGUAAUCAACACUACUAGCAACCUACGGGUACCAAUCUCAGGCUAUGAGACGAAGAUUGGAUACAAGAGAUGAACUAGGGUUUGAGAGGAGAUGGUGCUGGUGAAGAUGUUGAUGAAGAUUGACCCCCUCCCGAUGAGAGGAUCGUUGGUGAUGACGAUGGUGAUGAUUUCCCCCUCCCGGAGGGAAGUUUCCCCGGCAGAACAGCUCCGCCGGAGCCCUAGAUUGGUUCCGCCAAGGUUCCGCCUCGUGGCGGCGGAGUCUCGUCCCGCAAGCUUGCUUAUGAUUUUUUCCAGGGUAAAAGACUUCAUAUAGCAGAAGAUGGACACCGGAGGCCUGCCAGGGGGCCCACGAGGCAGGGGGCGCGCCCAGGGGGUAGGGCGCGCCCCCCGCCCUCGUGGCCAGGGUGUUGGCCCCCUCUGGUAUUUUCUUCGCUCAGUAUUGUUUAUAAUUCCCAAAAAUAACUUCCGUGGAGUUUCAGGACUUUCGGAGUUGCGCAGAAUAGGUCUCUAAUAUUUGCUCCUUUUCCAGCCCAGAAUUCCAACUGCCGGCAUUCUCCCUCUUCAUGUAAACCUUGUAAAAUAAGAGAGAAAAGGCAUAAGUAUUGUGACAUAAUGUGUAAUAACAGCCCAUAAUGCGAUAAAUAUCAAUAUCAAAGCAUGAUGCAAAAUGGACGUAUCAGCGGCGUCCACCUCUGAGCCGUCAUUGUUGCCGUCCUCUGUUCGAGCCGCUCUUCGUGACCCGCUCAGGAUGGCUGCGAUGCAAGAGGAGUUUGACGCCCUAUUGCGCAACCGGGCGUGGCAGCUUGUUCCCUGUCCCCGGCGCGCCAACGUGAUUACCGAGAAGUGGGUCUUUAAACACAAGCUCCGUCCUGAUGGUACCCUUGAUCGCUCUAAAGUGCGUUGGGUCGUUCGUAGCUUCCGACAACGUGCUGGCAUCGACUUCACCGACACCUUCGCUCUGGUCGUCAAGCCCGGCACAAUACGCACGGUUCUCCACCUUGCGGUCUCCCGUGCUUGGCCGGUGCACCAGAUGGACGUCUCCAACGCCUUCCUCCAUGGUCACCUCGAGGAGAAGGUCUUCUGCCAGCAGCCCACCGGGUUUGUUGACCCGGCGCUUCCCGACCACGUGUGCCCGCUUUCGCGGUCCUUGUACGGACUCAAGAAGGCUCCGCGCGCUUGGUACCAGCGCAUCGCAGCGUUUCUCCACCAGCUUGGGUUCCGUUCUACCCGCUCGGACGCCUCGCUCUUCGUCUAUCAUCAGGGCUCUGACACGGCCUACUUGCUGCUCUAUGUCGACGACAUCAUCCUGACGGCUUGUACGGCUGGUCUCCUCAGUCAGCUCAAGGCUCGUCUUCGCGCUGAGUUCGCCAUCAAGGACUUGGGUCCUUUGCACUACUUCCUCGGUGUCGAGGUGGUGCGCCGUCCGGAUGGCUUCUUCCUUCAUCAGCGGAAGUACGCUCACGAACUCCUGGAGCGCGCCGGCAUGCUUAACUGCAAGCCCGCCGCUACGCCUAUUGAUACGAAGGCCAAGCUUUCUGCCACGGAUGGUUCUCCUGCUUUGGAUGCCGCUUUCUAUCGGUCUAUCGUUGGUGCUCUCUAGUACCUCACUCUGACUCGACCGGAGAUCUAGUAUGUCGUGCAGUAGGUGUGUCUUCAUAUGCAUGCUCCUCGAGACGUCCACUGGGCUGCCGUCAAGCGGAUUCUCCGCUAUAUCUGUGGCACUAUGGAUCUUGGCGUCACGCUUCACGCCUCCGCCGACACCGCCCUCACCGCCUACUCCGAUGCAGACUGGGCGGGCUGCCCUGACACUCGUCGCCCCACUUCGGGCUAUUGUGUCUACCUUGGAUCCUCACUUAUCUCGUGGUCGUCCAAGCGGCAGCCUACGGUCUCUCGUUCCAGCGCUGAGGCUGAGUAUCGUGCGGUGGCCAACGUCGUCGCCGAGUGUUCGUGGCUUCGCCAGCUGCUUAAGGAGCUCCCUUCCCCUAUUGACCGUGCCAGGAUGGUCUACUGCGACAAUGUCUCGGCGGUCUACCUCUCCGCUAACCCGGUGCAUCAUCGACGGACCAAGCAUAUUGAGUUGGAUAUUCAUUUUGUUCAGGAACAGGUGGCCCUUGGCCUAGCCUUCUAGAGCUUGUUGCAUGCCACUGUUAUCUCUCAAACGAAAGAACAUAUAAAUGUAUCGCGAUCCGUGCAGGUUAUCAGUGACAACAGGCAAGGAUCUCAAAGCAAUGUUGGAGGGAUGAGGAUAAGAGGUUUCAUAUAGCUCGGCCUGCACAGGAACUUUCUGUAUCUCCAUUCACCGUUGUGCCGCCCUUAAAUUGUUUCCGUAGGGUUCAGCCCGCGUAGAGCUUGCCGAUCUGUACGGCAGUGUAUCCAGCAGGGACAAUAUGAUAAGUGGAUACAGUAGCUGCAUUUCCGUGUACCUCCUAUACCCAACAUAUUGCACCAGCCACCCCAACUCAUACAAGUUGUCAAUUCUUCACUUUUUCAUUCUUGCUAGUUUGGGUGCUACUAUCUUGAUAAGAUGCAGACGGUCAGGAGGCUAUGAGAACAUGACUCCAUAGAAAGGAUAUCCUUUAUAAGAGUUGUUCAAGUUUAUAAUAGGAGGAGUUGGUGAGCGCAUUAGAUAUCCAUAAAUUGAAUCUAAAAUAGAAAUAAAGUCUCAAGGUUUACUACUUUCUAUUCAAUGGUAUUUGCGUUAUGUCAGUAAUUUUGAUGAUGGGGCAUUGGCAAAUGCAUCCAUGUUGAAUUUAGUGACGAUUAGUCCUACCACCAUAAUAUAGGCUACCAAGGUGAACUCGAGAGUGAUUAUCAUAGUGGUCAACAUCGCCAAAUGGCGCCACUCCGUGUAAAUCAACUCCCAAAACUUCGUCAGUUCCAACUCACUGCCAGCAUGGUGGCCCACAUGGUCGACUUUAAUUGUCUCCGCAUAUUUCACAGGUGCACUGAAACUAACUCCAUUGAUUAUUCACGCUCACACAUUUUUGCGAUGUCCUAGCACUCUCUGAGUCCAUUCACAUAUGUUUCGAUGCGUGCUGUUGAUGAUCGUGUAGCUACUUUAGGUGAACCUAAUCAUAGACACCCUCAGCGCGUUCAUAAUACAGCUACCAACCAAUACUUCCUCUGAUCACCACGAUGGAUACCAGUUGAUCCCCACCGGACAUGGACAAAGUGUCAUGUGAUGAUAUUUUAAACAUGUUUUGUUCUUGCUUCUUUGUAGGAAGAAGAAGAAGAAGAAGAAUCUGUGCUUUACAAAUUGACUUUCCAUCUUUAGUUUUUCUUCUGAUAUGUGACACCGGAAUGGAUUAAGAUGGUGAUUACACUUCCGACUUAUUUGAGACUUUUCGAUCAAAGUUUUCAUCCGAUGCUUUCUAGGUAACAACAUAUCUGAAACUUCUUAACCAUGUCGGUUUCCAUCAACAAAGGAUUAAAUGUUUCUUACAUAUAGACAAAAAUUUCUUAGUAGAAAAUUCCACCCAGAAACUCCUUCGGUUUCCAUCUAGUAGUAUCCUUUCUUUGGGCUUGGUUAUAAGUUUUUGAUGCCUCUAGAAGCAAAAGUUUAAAUGAACACCUAAUUUUUAGUUUGCUCAUGGGAAGCAUUUAUAAAUAAUGCACUACAAUCAAGAAGCACGGAAAUAGUGGCUUCUGCAAGGCCGUAACUCCUACCAGCUUCUAUUUUUUUGAUAAAGGACAUUUUAUUGAAUUGAUAUAUCGAGGUGAUACAAUCGCAUCGAAAGAAUGCCCGACCUCUGCAUAACUCCAUGCACACAGCCAAAAAGUCCAACCGAUCCAAAAAAAUAAAAUCGUCUUACAACUUAAAAAGAUAAAUUAGUCCAGCCUAUGAUGUGGCAGAUCCUAUCCGGAGAUCACACCGCCAUCCAUGGGGGAGAAAACCUCCCUGGCUAUACGCUCCAGCCGCGUAGACGCCAUCAUAAAACGGUCCCUGUCCUCCGGCCUCUGCAGGAUAUACCAAGUACGGAGCCAUCGCGUACAUACAUGAAUAAUCUGCAUAGGAGAUGAAACACAUUUUUUAUUAAAAACCACAUCAUUCCUGGUAAGCCACAAUGCCCAACAUAAGGCAGCCGCCCCCACAAGAAUAUGUGCACAAAAUUGUUUAUCAAUACCCCUCAACCAGUUGCCGAACAUGUUACAUGCACUAGGUGGUGGGUAUAAAUUUGAAGCUACUCGAACUAUGGCCCAAACCGCCCAAGCGAACUUACACUCAAAAAAUAAGUGCUUAAUAGACUCGUCGUGUUGGCAAAAGACACACGCCUUGGUGCCUUGCCAGUUGCGUCGUGCCAGAUUAUCUCUAGUUAAGAUGACCCCUCUGUUUAGGAACCAGAGGAAUAUCUUCACUCUUAGAGGGAUUUUAAGCUUCCACAAUUUCCUGUUAUUAACUGGAACAUCACAAUGAACCAUUGCAUCAUACAUGGAUUUGACUGUAAACUUGCCAUUCCGAUGCAAAUUCCAUCAAAAGAUGUCCGGUUCAUCUGACGGCUGAAUAGCCUCUAGACGUAUGAGUAGCUCAUUCCAAGCUGCCAGGCGAGGUCCUAAAAGGUCCCUACGGAAGGAAAUAUCAGGGUUUUCUUGUCCCAAAACUUGUUUGAUGGUGACAAAUUUAUGUCUAACAAUCCUAUACAAACUCGGGUAUUGCACCAUGAGUGGUGUGGUCCCUAGCCAGGUGUCUUUCCAGAAUCGAAUCUGGGAACCGUCCCUAACCGAGAAAGUCCCAAAUUGGAAAAAGAAUUCCUUGGGCUUCAUGACUCUAGACCAAAAAUGUGAGUCACCAGUUUUCCAAUGGACUUGAGAAAUGGCCUUGGAUUCCACGUACUUGUUACGAAUGAUUUCCUGCCACACUCCAUUCUCAGUGAGUAGUUUAUAAACCCAUUUGCUGAGAAGAGCAAUAUUUUUAAUCUCAAGGUCCUGAAUUCCAAGUCCCCCUUGACUUUUAGGUCGACAUAAUACAGUCCACCUAGUCAGUCGAUAUUUCUUUGAUUCAUUAUCACACUGCCAAAAAAAUCUAGAUCUAAAGUAAUCGAGACGCUGAAGAACCCCUUUCGGUAGAUGGAAGAACAACAACAUAUAUAAAACCAUGUUGCUGAGGACGGAAUUGAUCAAGAUCAAUCGCCCCCCAUAUGACAAGAGUUUGGCUUUCCAACUGGCUAGCCGUUUCUCAAGUCUCUCUUCCACGUGCUUCCACUCAGCGAUAGUUAAACGCCGAUAGUGUAUGGGAAUACCCAGAUACCGAAUCGGGAACUGCCCGAGCUGGCAUCCAAAAAUGUCAACAUACUUAGGUGCAUAUUCUGCAGCAUCCCCGAAGCAAAAAAGUUUGCUCUUAUGAAAAUUAAUUUUGAGGCCAGAAAGUUCCUCAAAUGCACAUAAAAGCAGCUUGAGAUUUCUUGCUUUAUCUAGAUCAUGAUCCAAGAAAAGUAUCGUGUCAUCUGCAUAUUGUAGGAUAGAUAAACCCUCUUCUACCAAAUGAGGAAUGACACCGCUAACCUGACCGGCCACCUUAGCCCGCUCAACAAGGGUAGCUAACAUGUCAGCCACAAUGUUAAACAAAAUGGGUGAUGCGGGGUCCCCUUGGCGAAGCCCCUUCCUUGUCUGGAAAUAGUUGCCAACCUCAUCAUUAACUUUGAUGGCCACACUACCUCCAGAAACAAAACUCUCAACCCAUCGACACCAUUUUGGUGAAAACCCCUUCAUGCGUAAAGUUUUCAACAGAAAGGGCCAUUUAACUUUAUCAUAGGCUUUUUCGAAAUCUAUUUUAAAGAUCACUCCAUUCAACUUUUUGCGGUGAAGCUCAUGUACCGUUUCAUGCAGCACAACCACACCAUCUAGUAUGUUGCGUCCUUGCAUGAAUGCUGUUUGAGUGGGCUUGACGACAUGAUCAGCCACCCCGUUCAACCGGUUAGUUGCGACAUUCGUAAAGAUUUUGAAGCUUACAUUGAGAAGGCAAAUCGGUCGAUAUUGUUGAAUACGACUGGCCUCCUUAAUCUUAGGCAGUAGGAUAAUCUCCCCAAAGUUUAAGCGGGAAAUAUCAAGGUCUUCGGUAUGCAGUUGGUUAAGCAACUGAACCAAGUCCGCCUUGAUCACAUCCCAAAAGCAUUGAUAAAACUCUGCCGGAAAACCAUCCGGUCCCGGAGCCUUGUUGUGUUCCAUUUGAAACACCGCGGUUCGAAUUUCCUCUUCAGAAAACGGAGAUGUUAAGAAUUCAUUUUCCGCUUUCGAAACUUGAGGGAUGUCAUUUUCCUACCAGCUUUUAUACCCUUGUUACAUGAAUGCUCUAAAAGUUGCUCUGACUUGUUGUAUGUAUACCUAAAAUUCCAUUACUACAUAUAUAGACAUGUUUAUGAUUAAUUUGCCACCUUCCUUGUUGGCCCGUCAUCCGUCAACCAGGUUGCAACCCCAACCUCCCUCCUUUCCCUCCAACUCAAUUCACUGUUGCACACCACCCUUGAAUUGUUUCCAUGUAGUACAACCCACACAUAAUGGAUUAGCAACAAUAUGCUAAGUCACUACAAAACACACGAUUGUUAGUAACAAAAAUCCUCAUGACGGGAAAGGAACUGUCACCUAAAAUCAUUUUCCGUGAUGGUGGUUGUCACAAACUAAUGCCGGCCCGGGCAUCUUAGGUGAUGGUCCGGUCUGAUUUUAGGUGACGCUUUCCAGUGUCACAAGACAUAUGCAUGUUCGGUGAAGAUUUUUAGUGUCACCAAUAUCUUGGAUGGGUUAGUGAAGGAAAUAUAUAAAUAGAAAAAAAUUGGUCUAUGAAAUUCGAACUCGUGACCUCCCACAUUUGUGCAUGUAGGACUCAAAGUUUGGUCGCUAGGCUAGUGUUUAAUUAGUGAUAAUACUUUGUAGCUCUAUUUUUAGUAUGUAGAAUGGGACUACAUGUACAUUUCAAUGAAAUAAAUAAAACAAAAAACACCUUACCUUGAGACUAGUCUAAUUAAAAAGAAGACCCCACAUGUCAUGUCUUAUUUUGAAACCUCCAAAGGAAAAAUAGGUGUUAUUAAUGAGGCCUCAACCAUGGCCAUGGGCCUCAUGUGAAGAGAGAGAGGUUUAUUACUGGGCUAGUGUUUUAUGAGUGGUAACUUUGCAGCUCAAUUCUUUUGUAGUAUUUCCAAUGGCACUACAUGUGCAUUUCCGUGAAAAAUAAAAAAAAUCGUGUUCACUUGAAACUAUUCUAAUUAAAAAGUGGACCCCAUCUGUCUUGUUUUAUUUGAAAAGUAGGUGCUACAUAUGGGAUUUGAACCCUUGUCAUGGGACUCAUGUGGAGAGACAAAACACUAGCCAUUUUAUAUAUGUUGCCUUGGUGUUGAAAUAAAUGAAGUUGCCCUACUUGGGUGCAUAUGUUACUAAGACGUGCAGGGUUUCGGCCUCAAGGCGGCUUCAAAAUGAAAAAGUUCUCAGCAUGAAAGUUUUUCGCCUCGUCGAAGCGAACAACAUAGCUUUUUCAUCACCUUAAUCUGGUAUCACAUGCAAUCUCCACAGCCGAUACAAUGUGAAAACUUUUGACCUAUGUGAAAUUCUGGACACACUUGUCCGAAUUUGAAAAACAUUUGCUUACACGAUAUCGAUACUUUUGCAUGUGCUCAUCUCAUGGCUUAGGAGAUAGGUGAAAAGUCACAUGAGAGUUACUAAAACUCUCAAUGUACUUUUCUUUGACUGGGUGGAUCUACUAGGAUGUUUCUUAGACAUUCAAGACAAAUUAUGAUGUUUCCAAUAACCAAUUGUUCUGUUUGUACAUGUAACUUUAAAAAUGGACUGGACCAUGUACUUCAUCAUUACUACUGAUAAAUUUAGCUUCAUAUUGCCAUUUGUCAAGUCAUACAAUGAUUUUCCUACUUUUUAAAUGUCUAAAAAUGAGUACGUUAAGCACAAUGUAAAAAUGUUUAUAAACCAUGAACUAAACCAUGUAUUACAGAUACUUUCUAGUUUUGAUAUUUUUCUAGAUCUCAAUUUCAAUUUUAAGGCUUUAAAUGCAUUUUCUAUGCAUUUUUCAUCAAAAAUAGCAACCACCCAAGUUCUGAUAAAAAAUGUGAACAUUUGCAUCGACUGAUAUUAUUCGUUUAGGAUAUAGGUGAAAAGUUUGGUGAUAUUUAAAAGUAAUCUUGUACUUUGCUUUGUAAUGGGUCGAUCUACUAGGAUAAUUCUUAGACAUUCAAGUCAAAUUAUGAGGUUACUAAUGAAAAAUGAUUUUAUAUGUACAUGUAACUUUAUUUUAUAGUGGACCAUGCCAUGAAGUUCAUCGAUAGUAUUGAGAAACUUAACUUCAUAUUGCCACUUGUCAUAGUCACAAUUUCUUUGUCCUACUUCACAAAUACUUAGAAAUCGGUACCUUGUGAAGCACCUUGCACGGAUAUUUAUCCAACAUGUUCUAGACUUUUUGUACAUGAACUAAACAACAAAUUAGAGAUAAUUUGAAAUUUAUGGUUUUUAGAUCCCAUUUGCUACAUUUUAGAAAUGAAAUGCACUCUUUGGUUUUUUAGUCAGAAAACAGAAACCAACCAAAAACUGCUCGAAAAGUGGUAAACUUUGCAUGGGAUCAUGUACGGGUUUAGGAGUUAGGCGAUAAAGUCUCACAAGAUUUGACAAAAGUUUCCUUCUUCUUUGCUUUGUAAUGGGUGGAUCUGCUAGGAUAUUCCUUAGACAUUGAGGUCAAACUAUGAUAUUUUAAUGUCAUAUCAUUUUAUAUGUACAUGCAACUUUAAAAAUUGACUAGACCAUAUAGUUCAUCGAGAGUAUGAGAAAUUUAACUUCAUAUUGCCACUUGUCAUGUCAUAAUAUAUCUUUCCUACUUUGCAAAUACUUACAAAUAGAUACAUUGUGGAGCACCUUGUAUUAAUAUUUAUCCAUCAUGCUCUACACUUAAAAAAAUGGACUGGACCAUGAACUUUACCAUUAGUCUUUUUCAAGAUGCUCCACAUCAUUAGACUUUACCAUUAGUCUUGAAAGACAUAACUUCAUAUUAUCACUAUCAUGUCAUAAUAUGUUUUUUUGUACUUCGUAGAUGCCUAAAACCUAGUACCUUGUGGAGCACCUUUCAAAAGUAUCCAUAUGAAACACUCAUCUGCCUUCAAGCAUCUUCCUAUGCCUUCACGCGUCCGCCUCUCUCAUCUUCCUCUGCCUUCGUGUAUGAGAGCCUGAGCCUCCAGCCUAGCCUUUCCUCCUUCACCUCUUCAUGUGUUCGUCCACCGGGAGAAGGAUCUCACCCACGGAUCUGGCGCUCUUGUUCAAAUCCAGCUAGGAGAGGCCUCGGGCCACAUGCCGGCGAGGUCCCCUACUUUGUGCGGCAGGGUUGGCAUCAUCCUCGCCAUAUCCAUCUCCACCAUCCCUCCUCUCUCACCGUCACUUCAUCACCGGCGUCCUGAUCCUCAACAACAGCUUGUAGGAUCUGGCACCAGGGCAUGGAAGUUUCCAUCUCAUGAGGCCAUGGGCUCCGUGUUCAGCGGUGCGGCAACAGUCGGCGUGACAAAAAUGGCCUCUCGGGUGCGUGUGGAUCUACAUGCGGAGCUUGACAAGUUGACAUCCAGUGGUCACACCAUGCCUGAGAUGCGCCAUUCAAUGGUCGUCCGGUGCAGGAAACACAAUGGGCCGGCGAGGAGUUUUGAUUUUGUUGGCUUUGGUAUUUGGUAUUUUCUCCAUGUAUAAACCAAUGGUCAACUUAUUUAUUCAAUGAUUCUUCAUAUUAUACAUAUAUAUAUAUAUAUAUAUAUAUAUAUGAAUGGAAUGGUAUGUAUUAGGCGAAUUGCAUCAUGUCACUAGCCAGGUAAAAGAGCAUACUUUUUUGUUUUGUGAAUUGUUUACUGAUGGCGUGCUGUCAAUAAGUGCACAUCAUAGGCAUGUGUGCUCAUUUGUGAUGGUAAGAUUAAAGGCACACCACCAAUAUUCCUAUUAGUAGUGGCGUGGAGGUUGGAGGCACACCACCAAUAUGUAAAAUACUGAUGGCAAGUGGGCCACAUGCCACCAACAACCACUUAUCAGUGGCGUCAUAUCGGUGGCUAAGGCCGUGGGGCCCCUAUGCCACUAAAGUAGUUUUUGGCAUGCCAUUAGUAGGGUUUUCUAUAGUAGUGACAAUUUUUCAUGCAAUAGUCAUACAACUCAUGGGUUGGUGUGGGGCGUGCUGAUGGGUUGUUGUAGCGUUGUGAACCAUGGGCUAGGAACAACCCAACAAAAAAUAGCGCGCGAAAGAAGAGAGAAAGUUCUGGUUGCAUGCUUCAUGGGCCGGCCCAUUAUGCGGUUUUCCUGUGUCUUUUUCUAGCCGGUUAUGGGAACGUUUUAUAUCCUCCCCUAAACCGUUUUUUUUUUCACCUUUUCACUUGUUUCUUCCAUUUUAUUUUUUAUUAUUAGCAUUUUUAUUUUUAAAUUCAUGAAUAUUAAUGUGUUUUUUCUUUCGGUUUUUUUGAUUUCUUUCUUUCCACCAAUUUUUCCUAUUCAGUUUUUCCAUUUUCAAAUUCCGAAGAAUUUUUGAAAUUAGCAAACCUUUUUGAAUUCAUGAAUAUUUUCUAAAAUUCACAAACAUUUUUUAAAAUUCUCUUGCUUUUAUAAAUUUGUGAACAUUUUUUCACUCAACGAACAUUUUUCAUUAUUUGGGAACAAUUUCAAAAUUCAUGAAGAUUUUUCAAAUUUGCAAGCUUUUUCGAAAUCCAUGUAAAUUUUCAAAUUCAUGAACACUUUUUUGAAUUUAUGAACAAAUUUUGAAUUGGAGAACAUUUUGUUUGAAAUUAAUGACCUUUUUGUAUUCCUGGAUAGUUUUUGAAAUUCAUGAACAAUUUUCAAAUCAUCAUUAUUUUUGAAAUUAGGAAAAAAAAUAGAUUCAUGAUAUUCUUUGAAUUUUGACCGUUUUAAGACUUCAUGGACAUUUUAUGAAAACCCUAGAGAUUUUUUAAAUCAUGGACUUUUCUCGAAAGUCAGAACAUUUUUUAAAUCCUCAAAAAAUUUGAAAUUGAGAACUGUUUGUGAAAUUUCAAAUAUUUUUAAAAAUUAUUCAUGAAAAAAUUGAAUAAAAAGAAAAAACAAAAAAAGAAAGAACAAAAAUGAAAUAAGACAAGAGCGGCCAGGCCGCACAUGAGCUGGCCUAAUGCGCGAUGGGUGAGCUGUGGGGUGCGCGAUUUGUGGCUAUCUGCCGACGCACACGACAAAUACAAGCUCCUGUUUGGGCCAUCCUUUUUCGAGCUAUUUUGGUCCUGGUUUUCCCAAAAGGAAGAGAGGAAAGAAAAGGAAAUGAGCGAACGGCCCAAGAGAAAAUUCAAAAGAGGGAAGAAAGCGUUCUGGCCAUGGUAUAUGUGGCAUGGUUCGUUGAGGUUUAAAAGAUGAAACAAUAAUAAAAUAAAAAUGGCCUCGAAAAAUAUGAUUAAAUUAAACUAAACAUGAAGAUUCCAAUAAAAUAGCAGUUAGGGUCAGCAACCAACUUAGGGUGCUUAGGAAAUACUUUUAGCUACCAUCAAGGAUCUGGUUCAAAAACCUUAAAUCAUGCCACGAGGUGACCUGGUUGUCCAGGACUCUUUUUUCAGUCUACAGCCUGACCAUGUCUAUGGUGCCCUCUAAGAUUAGCAGAUGCGGAAAUUUUCCUUCCUAAUGUGUCUCAUCCCCAUCAUGUAUGGAGGCCACCGUCUAUCAUUAUCUCCCCUUAUUUCCUUUGAGUCUCCUAUCUUGAUUCAUUCCUAUUAGGAGGGGUUCCUAUUACCCAUGUGUUACCUGUUAAGAUGUGGUAUGUGGAUUGUGUAUGUAAAACGGUGGUCACUACAUAGCACACAUAUUCACACAAAAUGUCUAUCUACACAAAUAAUGUAAUUACCCACACAAUUGCCUAGACAUCACUAUUUAUACCAAGAGCACUAGCUACCAGUUUCAAUACUAUAGAUGAAGUUCUAUAAUUGGUAGCAGGGCUAGGCCCACCUACCCAACAACCUAAGAGAUUCUUUUCGAGCCUCGUAAUAAUUGUAGUUCAAUUACGUUCUUGUACAAUGUUGCAUCUAAUUCUCCCUUCUCGUAUUUUAUUAACAAACCAUUUGCUAAUUUCAAUUCAAUGGCUGAAAAACAGGAUCAACUCAUCAUGGAAAGAAAAUAACUCUAUCGGGCCAUGAUGUGCACGCUGGUUAAUUAAGCCUUCAAACACUUUUGUGCACUCAUCAAUAGAUUCGAAAAUAACUAAAGGCAUGCCCAUGCUUGAAAUACUGCUCGCAUCGCCGGAGGGGUGGGGGUUGAGGCGGCUCAGGUGAAACCCUAGCUGCCCCCACCAUGUCACCUCCUUUCCUCACCUCCAUCGUCACCUUCAAAUGACGCAAGUGGGCAAUGUCCUCUCGGCCGGCGAUAAUGGCGGUGAUGCCUUCAUGUGCGGUAAUCUCUCGCACAAGGAGCUCUCCAGUCAUGCGGUGCGGUGAUCUCAGAGGUUGUGACAUAUUCAAUGGAGCUUGGGUGUCGCAGCAACAUCCCGGGGUGCCCUAAGUUGUUGUGAUGCCACUAUGUUGUGUCGGAGGCGGCCGUUGGCGCGGGAGGCCGCGUGUGAUGAUGGGCCUUUGUGCUUUGAUCUGGCAACGGCACCUCGUGGACUAGUCGGUAGUGGCAACAACAAAGCGACAACGGUGGCGGUGACACAAACACAUGCAUAGGAAGGUCGGGGUGAUGCGGCUAAGGCUUGUCGCAACCACAAAGUUGUCGCCAUGUCUCUGCACUAUUGUCCCCGUCUCCUCAGCACCUGAUUUUUGAAGCAAGUGCGCGUAAGAAGGAUUCUGGUGAUGUUUGGCUCUCUCUGUUUUGUGAGAGUUUUAUGCUCGCAUGCACAGAUUCGAUCAUGUGGUGAUAUCUACGCUAAGGAUGUGCACACGAGCGGCUACCUUUGAGCGUGAGUUCCAUCAAAUGGUUGGGAUAUUGAUUUUCGUUACCAUGGUGUGUCGAUAUCUUUCCAUGCAGUUUCUUCUUCGGCAAAGGGUUGUCUGCAACACAUGGUGUCUUUGGAUUGGUGCACUACAAAAAAAAGACACAUCCGUGAUGAUACGCCUUUGUCAGGGUAGAUCACAUUUUCUGUCACUCAUGUAUAUCCGUGACGGUUUUAUGAAAAAUCAUGAUAGCCAUACUUGUGCUGUCGAGGAUGUGUUACAUGACAAAAUCACUUUAUUAUCAUGGAACUGUCCACUUCCAUGAGAUUAAGGGCCUGUACUGAAGUCCUCCCACUCCACGCUUCUCCAACUUCAGAUGUGGAGUCGGACAGAACGUUUGAGCUCCGUGGAGUCAGCUUUAGGGCUUGUUUGGGACUGCUCCGCUUCACUAAAAUCAGUUUCACUCCAUCAAAUUCACUUUAGAGCAGUUUCAUACAGAAGUUAUGCAUACCAAAGAGAAUGUUUGGCUUCCAUGUAGCUCCAGCUUCAAGAAUGGAAAAUUUGGUGAAAAGGAAAUAUUUGAUUGGAUGAGAGGGGAGAAACGAAGGGGUAUCCACUUACUGGUGGCAGUGGUGGGUAAUUUCCCCCCAACUCCAGCUUCUAGAGUUUUUUGAAGCACCCCCUCAAGAGCUUCAUAAAAAACUGGGAGUUGUACCCCAGAUUCUAGUUUUUUUGUGAGCGGCAUAUCGUGGAGCUACCCUGUUUGGCUAAUGUUUUCUGAAGCGUAGCUGAAUUUUAAGAAGCAGAGCAGUCCCAAACAGGCUCUUAAGAAGCGGUACAAGUCUGUAGUGCAAAUUUCUGAAGCUGCUAAAGCCCAGCUUCACAAAACAAAGAAGCGAGGAGCUCCUACUAAUUACAAGAGGAUGCCACCGCGAAGUAUAGAAAACGAUUCGCGAAACGGCUCCCAGCCGCUCGUGGUAUGCUCGCCUCGCUAGUUUCCUGUGCGAGCGCACGUGGCCAGCCCUCCUCCACACAACGAUACAAGGUGGACUGCCUCCAUCCGGCCCAAACUGGCACCCAACAGGCUCCCAGCUAGGACAAAUCGUGAAGAGAAGCUACAAACACUGUUGAACGAAUGGAAUCGCCAGGUGAAGUUCGAAGCAAGCUCCAGAAGCUGGUUUUGUGGAGUUUGAGAAGCCCAAAGAGGUUCAGAAUAGGCUCUAAAUAGCACAUCAUAAUUAUAUUCGUGAAGGGUUACCAAAAUCUGGCAGUGAUAUGUCUCCAACGUAUCUAUAAUUUUUUACUGUUCCAUGAUGUUAUAUUAUCAUUAUUGGAUGCUUUACAAUUAUUUUAUAGCAACUUUAUGUCAUUUUUUGGGACUAACCUAUUGACAUAGUGCCCAGUGCCAGUUGCUGUUUUUUGCUUGUUUUGUACUUCGCAUGAAAUCAAUAUCAAACAGAGUCCAAACACAGCGAAACUUUUUCGAGAAUUUUUAUGGACCAGAACACCCAGGAUGGGCCAGAGAAGUACUAGAGGGGUGCCCUGAGGGGGGCACAACCCACCUGGACGCGCCUGGGGGCCCAGGCGCACCCUGGUGGGUUGUGCCCACCUCGGUGGCCCCCCACACUUCCUCUUCGCCCUAUAAAUUGUCAAAUAUUAAAAAACCAAGGGUACCCCCUAGAUCGGAAGUUCCGCCGCCGCAAGGCUCUGUAGCCACGAAAAACCAAUCUAGACCCCGUUCCAGCACUCCGCCGGAGGGGAAAUCAUCACCGGUGGCCAUCUUCAUCAUCCCGGCGGCCACCAUGAUGAGGAGGAAGUAGUCCACCCUCGGGGCUGAGGGUUUGUACCAGUAGCUAUGUGUUUAAUCUAUCUCUCUCUCGUUCGCUCGCUCUCUCUCUCUCUCCCCCUCUCGUGUUCUUGAGAUGGCAUGAUCUUGAUGUAUCGCGGGCUUUGUUAAUAUAGUUGGAUCAUAUGGUAUUUCUCCCUCUCUAUCCUGUUGUGAUGAAUUGAAUUUUCCCUUUGAGAUUUUGUUUUAUCGGAUUGAAUACUUUUAUGGAUUUGAGAGCACUUGAUAUAUGUCUUGCAUAUGAAUACUCGUGGUGACAAUGGGGUAUUAUAUUGAUUCAAUUGAGAUAUGUUUUGGCACUCAACUCGUGGAUUCUCGAGGUGACAUUGGGGUAAUCUAUGCAUAGGGGUUGAUGCACGUUCUCGUCUUUUGUUUCUCCGGUAGAAAUCUUGGGGCACUCUUUGAGGUUCUUUGUGUUGGAUUGAGUAUUAUGAAUCUGAAUUUGCUUUGGUGUUAUUUUAGUACGAACUCUUGAUAGAUCGAUCGGAAAGAAUAACUUAAUGUCAUUUUAGUACGAACUCUUGAUAGAUCGGUCGGAAAGAAUAACUUGGUGUUAUUUUAAUACGAAGUCUUGGAUAGAUUGAUCGGAAAGAAUAGCUACAAACAAUUUUUUUCUUAUGUUCCCCGCUAGAUAAGAACUUUGGAGUGAUUCUUCAUCACACGUUGAGGGAUGGUUAUAUGAUCCAACUAGAUUAGCAUUGUUGAAAGAUUGCACUAGCUAAAGUACGGACCCUAGGCCUCAUUUUCAAGCAUUGCAAUACCGUUUGUGCUCCGUUUUAUCAAUUGCUACUUUGCUGUUUUUUAUUGUUCCUAUUAUAAAAAACCAAUAUCUACUAUCAUUACUACGCUUUUAUUACCAUCUCUUCGCCUAACUAGUGCACCUAUAAAAAUUACCAUUAUAUUUGGUGUGUUGGGGACACAAGAGACUCUUUGUUAUUUGGUUGCAGAGUUGUUUGAGAGAGACCAUCUUCAUCCUACGCCUCCCACGGAUUGAUAAACCUUAGGUCAUCCACUUGAGGGGAAAUUGCUACUGUCCUACAAAACUUUGCGCUUGGAGGCCCAACACGACUCUACAAGAACAAGUUGUGUAGUAGACAUCAGGCAGCAACUGUAAUGGGUCAUCACUAAGCUAUCAGGUGCGGGUUCCAGAUCCAAUACCAGUUAACAACCCCGACCAAUGACAAAUUUCCACAUGUUGGCUUCUCAUUUGUCAACGGAGCCACGCGUCAACUCUUCCUUGUGAUAGGUGUCACUCAUCCAACGGAUGAUAUGCGCCUAUGAAACGAAGACACAUGGCAUGGCCCAACAUUGGCCAGUUAUAAUGGCCAGCCCAGUAGGAGGCCCACAAGAUUUGGGCACAACUUAGCGGGUCAGCCCACUAACAACCCUCUUGCAGAUAGCUCAAUUACAACUCUAGUCCAUACAUCCUAGUGACAAUUCGGUGCGUCACCGCCCCGUUGGGUCUUCAGCAUCAUUACGACCCUUUGGUAGUUCUGGCCCAUUAACAACCAGCUUUGUCUUUGGCCCAAUUAUGACCCAUUGUGUCUUCCAGCCUAUUAAAGGCAUGUGGUAGACUCAGACUCAUUUGCUGCCCAAUGUUUCUUUCGGCCUGUUAGCGGCUCGUGGUGGAAUUGAACCGUUUUCUAUGUGAUGUGUCUUUCGGCCUAUUAAUGGCCUAGGGUACACUUGGGCCCAUUUACAACCCGAUGUGUCUUUCGGUCUGUUAAUGGACCAAGGUACACUUGGGCCCAUUUGUUUUCCGAAGUGACUUUCGGCCUGUUAAAUACACAUGGUAUAUUUUGGCUCAUUAAUAACAUGAGUUGGCUUUUGGACUAUUAAUUGUUUGUGAUGUAGUUUGGCCAAUUAAGGCCUGAUUUCAUUAUCGGCUUGUUAAUUGUCCGUUGUCUUGUUGGUACGAUAUGCCUUUUGGACUGUUAAAGGCCCGUGGUAUCUUCUGGCGCAUUUUAACAACCCAUGGUGUGUUUGGGCUAAAUGUGGCCCGAGGUUUAUUCGGCCUGUUCACAGGUACUGGUGCGUUUGGUCCGGCCAUACAUUUCGGCUUGCUAAUAGUUCAAACUGAUUAUGGGCUCAUUUAAAUCCCAUAGACCGUGUCGGCCCAUGAAUGGCUCGUGAUGAUUUUGGCCAAGUUAGAUUGACCGAUACUAUUUUGUAGUUGCGUUAGGACAAUUCGAACUGAUUAUGGGCCCAUUUAAAGCUCCCGCUUCAAGUUCAUGCGAUAGCACAUCGACCUUCUGAUUGUUAGGUUACCAAAAUUGUGGUGCUCGUGCCCUGGUUUGUGUGUUUAGCUCUUUCUGAUUUGUCUUCUGAUUUGUUUCUAUUGGUGGGAGGGAUGCAAACUCGAUAAUGGCAAUGGCGGUCAUUCACCGGGGUGAUAAUGUUCUCAGUUUUAUGUUUGUUGUCAUAUUUCUUAGAUUUUGAAUUUCGUGAUGGUGAUUACUCAAUAGUUUUUUAGUUCGUUAAUCAUUUACUGAUAAUUUUUCAGUCCCAUUUAGCAUAUUAGUUUGUAAGAUGAUUAAUAGUUUUUCACAUUUUCUUAUUUCAGUCUGUGUUCAGUUCAUCAAUUAUCAGUUAAACUAGAUUUCAGUUUGUAGUGUUUUACUUUUGAUUUUUAGUCUUUGUUUAUUUUUGAGUCUUAAUUUUUCAGGCUUGUAUGUCUAUGUCUUAGUCAUAGUUCUUUUUUCAGUUAGCAAGCUGAUGAAUAGUCAGUUAGUUUUCAAUUUAGGUCAUUAGUCAUUACUUAUUAGCCAUGUUUAGUCAUCUAUUAGUUAGUUCAUCAGUAUCUUCAGUUAGUCAAGUGUGUUCAAAUUAUCAGCUCAUUUCAUUUAAUCUAACCUUCACUCGUUGUAUAGGUUAUCAUUGUAUUUAUUUUCAGUCUUUCAUCUUCUUCGAGUUGAUCAGUCCAUAUUGUCUCCCUUAAUAGUUAAGUUAUUUAGUCAUCUAUCAAUUACACUGGUAGAAAAUGGGCCUUUAGUCCCGGUUCGCAAAGGCCUUUAGUCCCGGCUGUGCAACCGGGACUAAAUAUGCGCGACUAAAGACCCCCCCCCUUUAGUCGCGCCUCUUACGAACCGCGACUAAAGGCCCGUCCACGUGGGCGCCAGGGGUCCGUCGGGGCGGAGGACCUUUAGUCCCGGUUCUCGUGGCUAACCGGGACUAAAGGCCCGUCCACGUGGGCGCCAGGGGUCCGUCGGGGAGGAGGACCUUUAGUCCCGGUUCUCGUGGCUAACCAGGACUAAAGGCCUCCUCCGCAGGUUUAGGGUUUUAGCCCCCCUAAACCUGGUUUCUUUUUAAUUUGUAGUGUUUUAUUUCUUUUAUAUUUUAUUUUGUGUUUUAUUUUAAUUUUGAUGAAGUUUCAGUACACAUAUUCUACGCUACUAUAUACAUGCAUAUGAAAUUUCAAACAAGAAGAAUUCAAGAGGAAUAUAUAAUAUAUAUUCAAUCUCGGGUGACCAUAUACAACUUCGAACAAGUUUCCAUACACAAUUAGGAUGGAUGACCAUAUACAACUUCGAACAAGUUUAAAUCUCGGGUAUGCAUAUAAAUUUCUUCGUCCUCGGUAUAGUGUUCUCCUUUAGGAUUGAUGACUUCCCUCAUGAAAAAUCCUGCUAAUUCAUCUUGAAUUGGUCGGAAGCGAGCUUCUGGACUAAGCCUCCUCCGCAAGUUAUCCGUCGCCUUCCGCACGCUAUCCGAUGCCUUCCGCUCAGAGGUGUGUCUCCGGAUGUUCUCACAAACAUAGUAUCCACAUAGAUUGGUCCCCGGUGGCUGCUUAUCCACACUAACUAACCUUCUAAAAUCUAGCUCAUGUUUGAAUUCACCGACAAUUUCUUCUGAGAACUGUCUCCAAACCCUACAGGGCAAAGAAAAUUAAAUGAACAAGGGAGUUAUUAGUUACUUGAUAUUAGGAAAUGAACGAAAGAGACCGAUCGAUAUAGAGCUCAAAUGAUUGAAAAUAAUUACUUUUGCAGCAGUUUUCUCAUGUCGGCCCAACGCUUUGGAUCCGAAUCCAUAGAGUCCAUGAUUAGAACUCUGGAGGUGUGAAGUUCAAUAUUUAGCAGAAUCCAGUGGAACCUGCGGACACGUUACAUGCACAGUCAUGCAUAACUCAUCGAUUAGACAUACCAUGCAUGGAGUAAACACAAGAGAAUGGGCACAAGAGAGAAACACUCACCCAAAAUGGUAAGGAAAUAGAAUAUGACUUUUGAGUUGAUGCUUUCUAAGAAACUUGUACAAGUCUUUCUCCACGUCUUCGGGGUGAUUUUGUAACACAUGUCCAUUAACGAUAUGUGGGUCAAUGAACCCAACAUCAUGGAUGUUUCUUAUUUUGCAUUCCCAAAUCUUCAAUCUGCAUAAUAGCGUACGCAACAAUAUAGUUAGGACAAUAUAUAUAUAUAUAUAUAUAUAUAUAUANNNNNNNNNNCAACGCUUUGGAUCCGAAUCCAUAGAGUCCAUGAUUAGAACUCUGGAGGUGUGAAGUUCAAUAUUUAGCAGAAUCCAGUGGAACCUGCGGACACGUUACAUGCACAGUCAUGCAUAACUCAUCGAUUAGACAUACCAUGCAUGGAGUAAACAAAAGAGAAUGGGCACAAGAGAGAAACACUCACCCAAAAUGGUAAGGAAAUAGAAUAUGACUUUUGAGUUGAUGCUUUCUAAGAAACUUGUACAAGUCUUUCUCCACGUCUUCGGGGUGAUUUUGUAAGACAUGUCCAUUAACGAUAUGUGGGUCAAUGAACCCAACAUCAUGGAUGUUUCUUAUUUUGCAUUCCCAAAUCUUCAAUCUGCAUAAUAGCGUACGCAACAAUAUAGUUAGGACAAUAUAUAUAUAUAUAUAUAUAUAUAUAUAUAUAUAUAUAUAUAUAUAUAUAUUUAUUUAUUUAUUUAUUUAUAGUGCAGGCAAUGAAGAACGAGAUGAGGUAGAAAUAAAUCACUUACAGAACGUAGCAACUCAGCAUAGAUUUGUCGAGGUCGCGCAGAUUGAACAGCUGGAACAAUUCACUCAUAUGAACUUGUACAGAGUACCGUUUGGUGUGAUGCUCCUCUGUAACAUCCGCAUAAACAUAUUCUUUGUCGGCCCAUGUUAUGAAUUGCUUGUACCAACGUAGCAGAUUUCGCAUUUGUGGUGGUAGACUCUUUUCCCGCGCAGGCUCGACGAGAGGCCCAUUCCGCACAUAUUGUAAUGCUAUCUCACAUACUGGCGCAUCCUCAAGGCCUAAGAAGGCACGAAGAGUCAAACCCAUCUCGGACGCUUGUUUCAUGGCACUCGCUACAGUCAAUCCAAGUGCUGCCGCAGCUGCUAUGAUCUCGGGGUCCUCUUNNNNNNNNNNCACUCACCCAAAAUGGUAAGGAAAUAGAAUAUGACUUUUGAGUUGAUGCUUUCUAAGAAACUUGUACAAGUCUUUCUCCACGUCUUCGGGGUGAUUUUGUAACACAUGUCCAUUAACGAUAUGUGGGUCAAUGAACCCAACAUCAUGGAUGUUUCUUAUUUUGCAUUCCCAAAUCUUCAAUCUGCAUAAUAGCGUACGCAACAAUAUAGUUAGGACAAUAUAUAUAUAUAUAUAUAUAUAUAUAUAUAUAUAUAUAUAUAUAUAUAUAGUGCAGGCAAUGAAGAACGAGAUGAGGUAGAAAUAAAUCACUUACAGAACGUAGCAACUCAGCAUAGAUUUGUCGAGCUCGCGCAGAUUGAACAGCUGGAACAAUUCACUCAUAUGAACUUGUACAGAGUACCGUUUGGUGUGAUGCUCCUCUGUAACAUCCGCAUAAACAUAUUCUUUGCCGGCCCAUGUUAUGAAUUGCUUGUACCAACGUAGCAGAUUUCGCAUUUGUGGUGGUAGACUCUUUUCCCGCGCAGGCUCGACGAGAGGCCCAUUCCGCACAUAUUGUAAUGCUAUCUCACAUACUAGCGCAUCCUCAACGCCUAAGAAGGCACGAAGAGUCAAACCCAUCUCGGACGCUUGUUUCAUGGCACUCGCUACAGUCAAUCCAAGUGCUGCCGCAGCUGCUAUGAUCUCGGGGUCCUCUUCCGGACCGGCUUUCACUAUGAGCGGGGGGAUCGAUUGUUUAUUCUGCAUCCCGAGCUGGUCAACUUGUUUCCCGCUUUUUUUACUUUCUUCUUUCUCCUCCUUCAAUAUUUUUGCUUGCCUACGAAGUUCAUGUCCAUAGUCGUCAGGCAUAUUCAGCUCGGCUUGGGACGGUGUCGUCAAAAAAUCCUUAGCCCACUUCUUUUGCUUCUCAGUGAAUACUUGCUUGGGCUCAGGCUCUUUUAUCGCCUUCAUAUCCGCCUUCCAUUUCUCAUAAUGAGCAGACGCGGCCAAUUUGGUUUCAGCUUCACUAAGUUCCCAAGGCCUUGGGAGGAGAGGCUUCAGUGAUGGCUCCGGUACCCUUGUGGUCUUAGGUACAUAAGGGUCCGGGUUAAUAGUCCAGGAGCGGGUUUCCUUGCUAUCCGCCUGCUUCUGCUUCUUCGCCGGAGGUGGAUUGGGGGGCGUCGUACCCGCCGGAGGAGGAUUGGCGGGCGUCGUACCCGCCGGAGGUUGUGGAUCGGGGGACGGCGUCGAAUGGCGUGAAGGAGGUGUAGGUGAACCACCACGACCACCACCACCGCCACCACCACCACCACCACCAUCGGAGGGGGGUGGACUUGUUAGCCUUGGCGCCUCGCCUGGAAACACUAUGUACUUCUUUUUCCAUAGAAUGAUCUGGCGCUUGACAUCUCCAAGUCUUCUCUCUCCUUCGGGUGUAGCUUUGUCAAUCUCCAGGUCCUCAAACCCUUGGACUAUGUAUUCCACCGUGACACGAGCAUAGCCAUAUGCAAUGGGGUUGUUGUGGUGGAGUGCUCCAGGUGUACAGGGUAAAGCACUGCCGCUAGCUACCUUCGUGGAAACGUUCCCCACGGGAUAAUGCAGAUCACAUUCUUUCAUCUCCUUUACAUCAUCCACGGGGUAGUGAGGCUCCGGUGCACGAAUCUCGAUCAUCAGUGCACUAGCACCAGGCGGGGCAUCCGUGGAAGCCACGCUGCUUCUCCGCUACUGGCUUCCGCGAUCCGCUUCAUGAUCUUCAUGCGGCCCUGCAGCCGAUUUUUCUUUUACUAGUUCAUGCACGGUCGGCUUCAACUCAUGGAGUUCCGAUGCAAACUUCGCCAUAAGAUCUGCAUCCCGGUCCGUCUUUCUCUUACGGCUUCUGUAACAGUACGGGUCAUUGUCCUGGGAAAACCCUACUUUCCACGGAACUUUGCCUUUGCCUCGUACACGUCCUCCGUGUUCAUCAUUCCCGAGGGCUGUUGUCAGUGCGUCUUUCUCUCUGUUGAACUUGAUCAAGCCCUCUUGAGCUUGGAUCAUUGCGUCAAUAAGGGCUUGGGUGGGAGCAAACUUUUUCUUCCGGUGAACACACAACCCUGUCUCCGGGUCUAGUGAUCCCCCAUGCCCGUACCACCAGCUUUUGGCCCUUGGGUCCCAUCCCUCUGUACCUAGAGGGAUUCCUCGCACCCUCAGGUCCUCCUCCAUCUUCUGCCACUUAGACUCCGAAAGGCGGUAUCCUCCUGGCCCCAUAAUAUGAUGGAACUUUUUCUUACUCGCAUUAUCCUUAUUUUUUUCGAUAUUUCCUUGAAAUGCUCCGAUUGCUUUUGCCUCACAAAUUCUGGCCAAUCAUCUUUCAGUUUCUCAUGUAGUCCAUUGAAAUCCGGAGUCUUGCCCUUGUUGACAUAGUCACGGGUUAAAUUUUUCUUGAAGUUCCGGAAUGCUUCGCCCAUCUUCUGAAAAGCGAACUCUUUAACUAGCCUCCUCCUCUCACGUCCACCCGGAACCUCGUUACCAAAUUCAUCGACUUUGUUGUAUUCCGGAGGUAGAAUGAAAUGUUCCAUAGCUUUCUCCAGCAAUCCUUUUUCGUUCUCUUGUCGACAAAACUGAAACCAAGACGUGCCUUCUUUGGCUCCUUCCAUUCCUGGACGGUGAUCGGGACGUUGUCUCUAACAACGACUCCGCAUUGGUUGAUAAACUUUGAGGUGUGCUGUAGGGGCUUGCCGGUUUCACUGACAAACUCAAUGGCAUAUGUUUCUCCUGUUUUCAUCGCCUUGGAUUUGCCACGCUUUGUCGUACUCGAUCCGGCCGAGGGCUAAAAAAAGAAAGAGAGUCGCGCGCAUUAAUACAUAUGUAUUCACAUUUCAGUAAGUUUGUAUCACGAGAGGCUCAAUGUAUAUAUAUACCUCGCCGGAGGUGGUUGCUACUUGCAAUUCGAGAUCGUCGUUUGUUGACGGUUGACCUCCGUCGACAAUGUCCGUUCCUCCACCUUCUUGAUCAUCGACAAUGUCUGUUCCACCGUCAAGGUUCAGAAAAGAAGAGACUACAUCCUCUUCUUGCUCAUAUUCUGAGCCCGGCACAUAAGGAAUCUCGUUGUUUAUGAUGCCCAUUAAAUAACGUUCAGCCUCCGGAUCCCUAAGCGGCUCGGCUCUAUCGUCCGCCAUAUGUCACUCCUGCAUGUAGUAAAAAUUAAUUAAGUAUAAAGGAAUUAAAAAAUAAGAUUAAGGAGACAUAGAGGAGGAGGAAUUAAAAAAUAAGAUUACUGAGCACUGCCAAGUAUUUUGUUUUUCCUUUUCUUUUUCCUUUUCUUAUUUUCUUUUUCCUUUUCUUAUNNNNNNNNNNNNNNNNNNNNNNNNNNNNNNNNNNNNNNNNNNNNNNNNNNNNNNNNNNNNNNNNNNNNNNNNNNNNNNNNNNNNNNNNNNNNNNNNNNNNNNNNNNNNNNNNNNNUUCUUCUUCCUUUUCUUCUACCUUUUCUUCUUCCUUUUCUUUUUCCUUUUCUUCUUCCUUUUCUUCUUCCUUUUCUUCUUCCUUUUCUUUUUCCUUUUCUUAUUUUGUUUUUCUUGGUUUUCAUUGGUUUUCUUUGUUUCUUUCUCGAUUUUCUUGAUUUCAUUCCUUUGCAUUGGUUUCUUUUGUUUUGUUUUCUUUGUUUUUCUUUUUGGUUUUCAUUGGGUUUCUUUGUUAUUCCUUAUCUUUUGUCGAUUUUAUCGGUUUCUUUUUGCUUCAACACGUGUUAACUUUUUCAACCUUUUUCUUAUACAUCAGAAAGAUUUUCAUAUAUACAUUUAACAUUUUUAAACACAUGAUUAAGUUUUUUUUGAAAACUUAUUUUUUUGGAUGUAUGGGUUUUUUUCAUACACACUGUACAUUUUUGGCAUAUAUCUAAUACAUUUUCCUAAUACAUGUUUAACAUUUUCCUAAUACAUGUUUAACAUCUUCCAAACACAUUUUAAUAUUUUUUGAACACAUGGUCAACAUUUUUCCUUCGUUUGUGGAGGCGGCGGCGGGAGGCGGAGGACGGCAGGCGGCGACGGGAGGCNNNNNNNNNNNNNNNNNNNNNNNNNNNNNNNNNNNNNNNNNNNNNNNNNNNNNNNNNNNNNNNNNNNNNNNNNNNNNNNNNNNNNNNNNNNNNNNNNNNNNNNNNNNNNNNNNNNNNNNNNNNNNNNNNNNNNNNNNNNNNNNNNNNNNNNNNNNNNNNNNNNNNNNNNNNNNNNNNNNNNNNNNNNNNNNNNNNNNNNNNNNNNNNNNNNNNNNNNNNNNNNNNNNNNNNNNNNNNNNNNNNNNNNNNNNNNNNNNNNNNNNNNNNNNNNNNNNNNNNNNNNNNNNNNNNNNNNNNNNNNNNNNNNNNNNNNNNNNNNNNNNNNNNNNNNNNNNNNNNNNNNNNNNNNNNNNNNNNNNNNNNNNNNNNNNNNNNNNNNNNNNNNNNNNNNNNNNNNNNNNNNNNNNNNNNNNNNNNNNNNNNNNNNNNNNNNNNNNNNNNNNNNNNNNNNNNNNNNNNNNNNNNNNNNNNNNNNNNNNNNNNNNNNNNNNNNNNNNNNNNNNNNNNNNNNNNNNNNNNNNNNNNNNNNNNNNNNNNNNNNNNNNNNNNNNNNNNNNNNNNNNNNNNNNNNNNNNNNNNNNNNNNNNNNNNNNNNNNNNNNNNNNNNNNNNNNNNNNNNNNNNNNNNNNNNNNNNNNNNNNNNNNNNNNNNNNNNNNNNNNNNNNNNNNNNNNNNNNNNNNNNNNNNNNNNNNNNNNNNNNNNNNNNNNNNNNNNNNNNNNNNNNNNNNNNNNNNNNNNNNNNNNNNNNNNNNNNNNNNNNNNNNNNNNNNNNNNNNNNNNNNNNNNNNNNNNNNNNNNNNNNNNNNNNNNNNNNNNNNNNNNNNNNNNNNNNNNNNNNNNNNNNNNNNNNNNNNNNNNNNNNNNNNNNNAUCAAAAAAUUCAGAAAAAUAAAACUAAUUCAUUUUAAAACCUUAAAAAUACAAAUAAUAUAUCAAAAAAUUCAGUUCAUCGAUCCCUUGAAGGUUUGACAAAAGGUUUGAUACAUCAUUCAGUUCAUCGACCAAAUACAAAUCAUCCGGAUUCGCCAUCGUACGUUUUAAUUCACAUGAUCCAUUCAACAAAGUUUGGUACAAUACAUUAUUACACAUCAAUUCCUCCCUUGUGUCCCUGCUUGCUUACGAUUGUGCCGUAUCCAUGGAGCAUCCUCAUCAUUUAACUUAAUGCUUGGGUCAGUGUUCACUUUGAAGGACAGAAUUUCACCAAACAUAUUAUAAUCUUCUGACAUGUCUGUCUUGUCCUCCACUCCCACGAUGUUUCUUUUCCCUGAAAGAACAAUGUGGCGCUUUGGAUCAUCGCAUGAUGUACUGAUCGUUUUCUUAUCUUUCUGUUUCCUCGGUUUGCUACUCAUGUCCUUCAAAUAAAAAACCUGAGCGACAUCUUUGGCAAGGACGAAGGGUUCGUCAAGGUAACCAAGAUUGUUGAAAUCCACCAUUGUCAUUCCGUAUUGCUCGUCCAUCUUUACCCCACCUCCUGUUAGCUUGAACCAUUUGCACCGGAACAAAGGGACCUUAAAGGAGGGUCCAUAGUCAAGUUCCCAUAUCUCCUCUAUGUAACCAUAAUAUGUGACCUUUUGCCCAUUCUCGGUUGCUGCAUCAAAGCGGACACCACUGUUUUGGUUGGUGCUCUUUUUAUCUUGGGCGAUGGUGUAAAAUGUAUUCCCAUUUAUCUCGUACCCUUGGAAAAUCGUUAUAGUCGAAGAUGGUUUCUUGGCCAACAUGUACAGCUGAUCUCUAACAUCAUUGUCAUUCAUUAAAUGUUUUCGCAAUCAACUGCCGAAAGUCUCCAUGUGGGCCUUUCUAAUCCAGGAUUCAGGCUUCCCCGGGUUGUUCGAGUGUAAAAUAUUCUUGUGUUGCUCGAAGAACGGAGCCACCAAGCUGGAAUUUUGCAGAACUGUGUGGUGUGCUUCAGUCAUAGAAUGACCGUCCAUACAUAUCGUUGAUUUCCUUCCGAUCGUGCCUUUUCCACUUAGUCUCCCCUCGUGCCGCGAUUGAGGAAUACCAAUCGGCUUAAGGUCAGGAACAUAGUCAAUACAGAACUCAAUUACCUCCUCAUUUCCAUAGCCCUUGACGAUGCUUCCUUCUGGCCUAGCACGGUUACGAACAUAUUUCUUUAAUAUUCCCAUGAACCUCUCAAAGGGGAACAUAUUGUGUAGAAAUACAGGACCGAGAAUGGAAAUCUCUUCGACUAGGUGGAGCAGGAGGUGCGUCAUAAUAUCGAAGAAGGAUGGUGGGAACACCAACUCGAAACUGACAAGGCAUUGGACCACAUCGUUCUGUAACCGUGGUAGAUCUUCUGGAUUGAUUACCUUCUGAGAGAUUGCAUUGAGGAAUGCACAUAGCUUCACAAUGGCUACUCGAACAUUUUCCGGUAGGAGCCCCCUCAAAGCAAUCGGAAGCAAUUGCGUCAUAAUCACGUGGUAGUCGUGAGACUUCAGGUUUUGGAACUUUUUCUCCGCCAUGUUUAUUAUUCCCUUUAUAUUCGACGAGAAGCCAUACGGGACCUUCAUACUGCUCAGGCAUUCAAAAAAAAUGACCUUCUCUUCUUUGGUAAGAGCGUAGCUGGCACGACCUUGAAACCAUUCCGGAUGCCGGCCAUCUGGGUCUUUCAAAAGUUGCUGGUCCUGCCGUGCUUCCUUUGUAUCAUUUGUCUUCCCAUACACGCCCAAGAAGCUUAGCAGGUUCACGGAAAUAUUCUUCGUAACAUGCAUCACGUCGAUUGCAGAGCGGACAUCUAGGACUUUCCAAUAUUCUAGCUCCCAAAAUAUAGAUUUCUUCUUCCACAUGGGUGCGUGCCCGUCAACUCCCCGCGGAACUGAUUGUCCGCCAGGACCCUUUCCAAAGAUGACUUUCAAAUCCUUGACCAUAUCAAAUAUCUCAGCACCAGUACGUUCCGCAGGCUUUGGCCGGUGAUCUGCCUUGCCGUUGAAAUGCUUGCCUUUCUUUCUUACGUUAUGAUUUCGGGGAAGAAAUCGACGAUGACCCAGGUACACGUUCUUCUUACAAUUAACCAAACGUACACUUUCAGUCUCAUGUAAGCAGUGUGUGCAUGCAUUGUAUCCCUUAUUUGUCUGUCCCGAAAGGUUACUGAGAGCAGGCCAAUCGUUGAUGGUUACAAAAAGCAACGCUCGUAGGUCAAAUUCCUCUCCUUUGUGCUCAUCCCAGACACGUACACCAGGUCUGGCCCACAACUGUAAAAUUUCAUCAACUAAUGGCCUUAGGUACACAUCGAUGUCGUUCCCGGGUUGCUUUGGACCUUGGAUGAGCACUGGCAUCAUAAUGAACUUCCGCUUCAUGCACAACCAAGGAGGAAGGUUGUAGAUGCAUAGAGUCACGGGCCAGGUGCUAUGGCUGGAGCUCUGCUCGCCAAAAGGAUUCAUGCCAUCAGUACUUAGACCAAAUCUUAUGUUCCUUGCGUCAGCUGCAAAAUCUUUGAACACUCUGUCGAUCUUUCUCCAUUGCAUUCCAUCAGCGGUGUGUCUCAACUCCCCGUCGGACUUACGGUCCUCUUUAUGCCAUCGCAACGACUUGGCAUGCUUUUUGUUCCUGAACAGACGUUUCAACCGUGGUAUUAUAGGAGCAUACCACAUCACCUUGGCGGGAACCCUCUUCCUGGGUUUCUCGCCCUCAACAUCGUCACCAGGGUCAUCGCCUCUGAUCUUAUAACGCAAUGCAGUGCAUACAGGGCAUUCAUUCAAAUUCUCGUAUUCACCGCGGUAGAGGAUGCAGUCGUUAAUGCAUGCAUGUAUCUUCAGAACCUCUAAACCUAGAGGGCAGACAACCUUCUUUGCUUCGUACGUACUGGAGGGCAACUCGUUAUUCUUCGGAAACAUGUUCUUCAACAUUUUCAGCAAAUUUUCAAAUGAUGAGUCACCUACACCUUCCUGUGCCUUCCAUUUUAGCAAAUCCAGUGUGCAGCCCAGCUUUUUCAGACUAUUAUCGCAUCCUGGAUACAACGACUUUUUGUGAUCCUCUAACAUGCGAUCCAAAUUCUCCCUAUCCUUGUCAGUUUCGCAGCGUCUCCGUGCAUCAGCAAUGGUCCGACCAAGAUCAUCAGCGGGCUCAUCAUGUGCCUCUUCUUCACCUUCACCUAACCCUUCCCCACCUUCAGCAUCAUCCUCCAUGAAAGUAUCACCGAAAUGAUCAUGAUAGUUGUCAUCGAUAUCAUCCCCUUCUUCAUCUUCUUCCAUUCUAACCCCUCUUUCUCCAUGCUUGGUCCAACAAUUAUAGCUUCGCAUGAAACCGUGCCGAAGCAGGUGCAUGUGAACGUCUCUUGAGGAGGAGUAACCCUUCUGAUUCUUACAAACAGCACAUGGACAGAUAAUAAAACCUUGCUGCUUGUUCGCAUUUGCCACUACGAGGAAAUCUUUCAAACCCGUAGUGAACUCGCCGGAGAGUCGGGGACCGUACAUCCAUUGCCGAUUCAUCUGCAUUAUUAUUAUAUAAAGUAUAUAAUUGACCAUCAUGCAUUUGUUAAACUAACUAGCUAGAAAUAAUACAAAUUAAACAAUGAACUACACACAUGCAUAUUUUAUCAAUGACACAUGAAAGGUUCAAGUUGCUAACCGCGAUCGCGAAGGAAAAAUAAAUGAGAAAGCUCAAGUGUGGCUCGGACACUUCGUAUCAUGUUUGUUUCAGGCUCUCAGGCAUUUCAUCGAACACCUUGUGUGCAUAGGAGGAACCAAAAGCAAACCCGCCACCCCCUUCUGAAUAUUGUGAAGUGAGCUGAGUGAAGUGAAGUGAGCUGAGUCCUAUAUAUAGGGAUGGGCCUUUAGUCCCGGUGGCCUGGCCAACCGCGACUAAAGGCCUUCGGGGACCUUUAGUCCCGGUUGGCCAGGCCAACCGGGACUAAAGCCCCUCCCGUCCGCCAGCUGUCGACCGAGCGCGCUGGGCCCAGAUAGUUGGUCGCGGGUCUCCUCCCGAACCGCAACUAAAGACCCCUUUGUCGCGGUUCGAUUAUUUUGGGGACUAAUGGGGGCGUAUGGAAGCCUCUUUUUCUACUAGUGUUAGUUCAUCAAUAUCACUAGUAAGUUCAAUGUGUUCUGUUCAUUAAUUAGUUCAAUUUCUUUAGUAUUCAUUUGUUUAUUCACUUCUUUAGUUUAUAUUACAUCAUUAAUUCUUAUAAUUAUCAGUGUUUUUUUUUGUUCUUUUCACAUUCUCGUUUGGUGCACUAUCUCACUACGACGAACAAUGAACUACCAUAGGUGGUAUGUAGGGGUUUUCACGAUUUCUUAGAUAUGUACUCUUCACAAAUCAUUAUUUCAUUAUGCAGGCAUGUCUAUAUAUGUAUCUUCACUCUUCACUCAUUCUAUAUUUUGUCAUUCAUUCAUCACUAUUCACUUAUCAGGACAUUUGUUUCAUCCUUUAAGUAUUUUGUUAAGUCCAUUCUCUAUUCCUUAGUCAUUUGUUCCAUUUAACUUGAUAACACAACAUUUUAUCAUCGAUUGGAACACUUUUUGUUCAUGUGUAGUUCUGACCAGCUAAUCAGUGAUGGUCACUGCCUAGAACUAAGAAUUAGAGUUAUAUGUACCUAUGUUCUGAUUCCAAAUGUUUGAGUUAUCAUUAAUACAUUUUCAUAGGUUUUUUUUAUUUCCUAUCAUUCAAAGAUCAGGACACUUUCAAUCCAUAUUUUUUGGUGGAGUGUUGAUGAAUGGUGUGUGUCAUACCUGGCCAAAUGGCUCGGCACGGCCCGGCCUGCGGUAAACGUGCACGACACGACCCGCGACGGCACGACUAAUAGCCGGGCCGUGCCGGGCCGGCCCACGGGCGGGAGCUCGCACCCUAGGCACGGCCCAGCUACUAAUUGGGCCGGCCCACCUGAAGGAAAUAUGCCCUAGAGGCAAUAAUAAAGUUACUAUUUAUUUCCUUAUUUCAUGAUAAAUGUUUAUUAUUCAUGCUAGAAUUGUAUUAACUGGAAACAUGAUACAUGUGUGAAUACAUAGACAAACAGAGUGUCACUAGUAUGCCUCUACUUGACUAGCUCGUUGAUCAAAGAUGGUUAUGUUUCCUAGCCAUAGACAUGAGUUGUCAUUUGAUCAACGGGAUCACAUCAUUAGGAGAAUGAUGUGAUUGACUUGACCCAUUCCGUUAGCUUAGCACACGAUCAUUUAGUAUUCUGCUAUUGCUUUCUUCAUCACUUAUACAUGUUCCUAUGACUAUGAGAUUAUGCAACUCCCGUUUACCGGAGGAACACUUUGUGUGCUACCAAACGUCACAACGUAACUGGGUGAUUAUAAUGGUGCUCUACAGGUGUCUCCGAAGGUACUUGUUGGGUUGGCGUGUUUCGAGAUUAGGAUUUGUCACUCCGAUUGUCGGAGAGGUAUCUCUGGGCCCACUCAGUAAUGCACAUCAUUAUAAGCCUUGCAAGCAUUGUAACUAAUGAGUUAGUUGCGGGAUAAUGUAUUACGGAACGAGUAAAGAGACUUGCCGGUAACGAGAUUGAACUAGGUAUUGAGAUACCGACGAUCGUAUCUCGGGCAAGUAACAUACCGAUGACAAAGGGAACAACGUAUGUUGUUAUGCAGUUUGACAGAUAAAGAUCUUCGUAGAAUAUGUGGGAGCCAAUAUGAGCAUCCAGGUUCAGCUAUUGGUUAUUGACCGGAGACGUGUCUCGGUCAUGUCUACAUUGUUCUCGAACCCGUAGGGUCCGCACGCUUAAAGUUCGAUGACGGUUAUAUUAUGAGUUUAUGUGUUUUGAUGUAACGAAGGUAGUUCGGAGUCCCGGAUGAGAUCGGGGCAUGACGAGGAGUCUUGAAAUGGUCGAGACGUAAAGAUCGAUAUAUUGGACGACUGUAUUCGGACAUCGGAAAGGUUCCGAGUGAUUCGGGUAUUUUUCGGAGUACUGGAGAGUUACGGGAAUUCGCCGGGGAGUAUAUGGGCCUUAUUGGGCUUUAGGGGAAAUAGAGAGGAGAGGCUGGGCGCCCCCCCAAGGCCUAGUCCGAAUUGGACUAGGGGAGGGGCUGCGCCCCCUCCUUCCUUCUCUUCUCUCUCCCCUUUCCUUGACUCCUACUCCUACUACUUGGAAGGGGGGGAAUCCUACUCCCGGUGGGAGUAGGACUCCUCCUAGGGCGCGCCAUAGAGAGGGCCGGCCCUCCCCCUCCUCCACUCCUUUAUAUACGGGGAGGAGGGCACCCCUUGGAGAUACAAUAAUUGAUCGUUUGAUCUUUUAGCCGUGUGCGGUGCCCCCCUCCACCAUAGUCCACCUCGAUAAUACUGUAGCGGUGCUUAGGCGAAGCCCUGCGUCGGUAGAACAUCAUCAUCGUCACCACGCCGUCGUGCUGACGAAACUCUCCCUCAACACUCGGCUGGAUCGGAGUUCGAGGGACGUCAUCGGGCUGAACGUGUGCUGAACUCGGAGGUGCCAUGCGUUCGGUACUUGAUCGGUCGGAUCGUGAAGACGUACGACUACAUCAACCGCAUUGUGCUAACGCUUCCGCUUCCGGUCUACGAGGGUACGUGGACAACACUCUCCCCUCUCGUUGCUAUGCAUCACCAUGAUCUUGCGUGUGCGUAGGAAUUUUUUUGAAAUUACUAUGUUCCCCAACAGUGGUAUCAGAGCCAGGUUUUAUGCAUAGAUGUCAUAUGCACGAGUAGAACACAAGUGAGUUGUGGGCGAUAUAAGUCAUACUGCUUACCAGCAUGUCAUACUUUGGUUCGGCGGUAUUGUUGGAUGAAGUGGCCUGGACCGACAUUACGCGUACGCUUACGCGAGACUGGUUCUACCGACGUGCUUUGCACACAGGUGGCUGGCGGGUGUCAAUUUCUCCAACUUUAGUUGAACCAAGUGUGGCUACGCCCGGUCCUUGCGAAGGUUAAAACAACACCAACUUGACAAACUAUCGUUGUGGUUUUGAUGCGUAGGUAAGAACGGUUCUUGCUAAGCCCAGUAGCAGCCACGUAAAACUUGCAACAACAAAGUAGAGAACGUCUAACUUGUUUUUGCAGGGCAUGUUGUGACGUGAUAUGGUCAAGACAUGAUGCUAAAUUUUAUUGUAUGAGAUGAUCAUGUUUUGUAACCGAGUUAUCGGCAACUGGCAGGAUCCAUAUGGUUGUCGCUUUAUUGUAUGCAAUGCAAUUGCCCUGUAAUGCUUUACUUUAUCACUAAGCGGUAGCGAUAGUCAUAGAAGCAUAAGAGUGGUGAGACGACAACGAUGCUACGAUGGAGAUCAAGGUGUCGCGCCGGUGACAAUGGUGAUCAUGACGGUGCUUCGGAGAUGGAGAUCACAAGCACAAGAUGAUGAUGGCCAUAUCAUAUCACUUAUAUUGAUUGCAUAUGAUGUUUAUCUUUUAUGCAUCUUAUCUUGCUUUGAUUGACGGUAGCAUUAUAAGAUGAUCUCUCACUAAAUUUCAAGAUAAAAGUGUUCUCCCUGAGUAUGCACUGUUGCCAAAGUUCGUCGUGCCCAGACACCACGUGAUGAUCGGGUGUGAUAAGCUCUACGUCCAUCUACUACGGGUGCAAGCCAGUUUUGCACACGCAGAAUACUCAGGUUAAACUUGAUGAGCCUAGCAUAUGCAGAUAUGGCCUCGGAACACUGAGACCGAAAGGUCGAGCGUGAAUCAUAUAGUAGAUAUGAUCAACAUAGUGAUGUUCACCAUUGAAAGCUACUCCAUUUCACGUGAUGAUCGGUUAAGGUUUAGUUGAUUUGGAUCACGUGAUCACUUAGAGGAUUAGAGGGAUGUCUAUCUAAGUGGGAGUUCUUAAGUAAUAUAAUUAAUUGAACUUAAAUUUAUCAUGAACUUAGUCCUGGUAGUAUUAGCAUAUCUAUGUUGUAGAUCAAUAGCUCGCGUUGUUGCUUCCCUAUGUUUAUUUUGAUAUGUUCCUAGAGAAAAACUAUGUUGAAAGAUGUUAGUAGCAAUGAUGCGGAUUGUAUCCGUGAUCUGAGGAUUAUCCUCAUUGCUGCACAGAAGAAUUAUGUCCUUGAUGCACCGCUAGGUGACAGACCUAUUGCACGAGAAAAUGCAGACGUUAUGAACGUUCGGCUAGCUCAAUAUGAUGACUACUUGAUAGUUUAGUGCACCAUGCUUAAUGGCUUAGAAUAGGGACUUCAAAGACGUUUUGAACGUCAUGGACCAUAUGAGAUGUUCCAGGAGUUGAAGUUAAUAUUUCAAGAAAAUACCCGAGUUGAGAGAUAUGAAUUCUCCAACAAGUUCUAUAGCUAAAAGAUGGAGGAGAAUAGCUCAAGCAGUGAGCAUAUGCUCAGAUUGUCUGGGUACUACAAUCGCUUGAAUCAAGUGGAAGUUAAUCUUCCAGAUAAAAUAGUGAUUGACAGAAUUCUCUAGUCACGAUCACCAAGUUAGUAGAACUUCGUGAUGAACUAUAAUAUGCAAGGGAUGACGAAAGUAAUUCCCGAGCUCUUCGCGAUGUUGAGAUCGACGAAGGUAGAAAUCAAUAAAAGAGCAUCAAGUGUUGAUGAUUAACAAGAUCACUAGUUUCAAGAAAAGGGCAAAGGGAAAGAAGGGCAACUUCAAGAAGAACGGCAAGCAAGUUGCUGCUCAAGUGAAGAAGCCCAAGUUUUGACCUAAGCCUGAUACUGAGUGCUUCUACUACAAAAAGAACUGGUCACUGGAACAAAAGUAUAUUUGAUAUACAUGUUAUUGAUGUGUACUUUACUAGUGUUUAUAGCAACCCCUCGGUACUUGAUACUGGUUCAGUUGCUAAAGAGUAGUAACUCGAAACGGGAGUUGCAUAAUGAACAGAAACUAGUUAAGGAUGAAGUGACGAUGUGUAUUGGAAGUGGUUCCAAGAUUGAUAUGAUCAUCAUCGCACACUCCCUAUACUUUCGGGAUUAGUGCUGAACCUAAAUAAGUGUUAUUUGGUGUUUUGCGUUGAGCAUGAAUAUGAUUUGAUCAUGUUUAUUGCAAUACGGUUAUUCAUUUAAGUUAGAGAAUAAUUGUUGUUCUGUUUACAUGAAUAAAACCUUAUAUGGUUACACACCCAAUGAAAAUGGUUCGUUGGAUCUCGGUCGUAAGUGAUACACAUAUUCAUAAUAUUGAAGCCAAAAGAUGCAAAGUUAAUAAUGAUAGUGCAACUUAUUUGUGGCACUGCCGUUUAGGUCAUAUUGGUGUAAAGCGCAUGAAGAAACUCCAUGCUGAUGGGCUUUUGGAAUCACUUGAUGCUUGCGAACCAUGCCUCUUGGGCAAGAUGACUAAAACACUGUUCUCCGGAACAAUAAAGCGAGCAACAGAUUUGUUGGAAAUCAUACAUACUAAUGUAUGUGGUUCGAUGAAUAUUGAGGCUCGUGACAGGUAUCGUUAUUUUCUGACCUUCACAGAUGAUUUGAGCAGAUAUGGGUAUAUCUUCUUGAUGGAACAUAAAGUCUGAAACAUUUGAAAAGUUCAUAUAAUUUCAGAGUGAAGUGGAAAAUCAUCGUAACAAGAAAAUAAAGUUUCUAUGAUCUGAUCGUGGAGGAGAAUAUUAGAGUUACGAGUUUGGUCUUCAUUUCAAACAAUGCAGAAUAGUUUUGCAACUCACGCCACCUGGAACACCACAGCGUAAUGGUGUGUCCGGACGUCAUAACCAUACUUUAUUAGAUAUGGUGCGAUCUAUGAUGUUUCUUACCGAUUUACCACUAUAGUUUUGGGGUUAUGCAUUAGAGACAGCUGCAUUCACGUUAAAUGGGGCACCAUCGAAAUCCGUUGAGACGACACCUUAUGAACUGUGGUUUGGCAAGAAACCCAAGUUGUCGUUUCUUAAAGUUUGGGGUUGCGAUGCUUAUGUGAAAAAGUUUCAUCCUGAUAAGCUCAAACCCAAAUCGGAGAAAUGUGUCUUCAUAGGAUACCCAAAGGAGACAGUUGGGUACACCUUCUAUCACAGAUCCGAAGGCAAGAUAUUUGUUGCUAAGAAUGGAUCCUUUCUAGAGAAGGAGUUUCUCUCGAAAGAAGUGAGUGGGAGGAAAGUAGAACUUGAUGAGGGAACUGUACCUGCUCCCUUAUUGGAAAGUAGUUCAUCACAGAAAUCUGUUCUUGUGACUCAUACACCAAUUAGUGAGGAAGCUAAUGAUGAUGAUCAUGUAACUACAGAUCAAGUUACUACCCAACCUCGUAGGUCAACCAGAGUGAGAUCAACACCAGAGUGGUAUGGUAAUCUUAUUCUGGAGGUCAUGUUACUUGACCAUGACGAACCUACGAACUAUGAGGAAGCGAUGAUGAGCCCAGAUUCCGUGAAAUGGUUUGAGGCCAUGAAAUCUGAGAUGGGAUCCAUGUAUGAGAACAAAUUAUGGACUUUGAUUGACUUGCCCAAUGAUCGGCGAGCCAUUGAGAUUAAAUGGAUCUUCAAGAGGAAGACGAACGCUGAUAGUAGUGUUACUAUCUACAAAGCUAGAAUUGUCGCAAAAGGUUUUCGACAAGUUCAAGGUGUUGACUACGAUGAGAGUUUCUCACUCGUAUCUAUGCUUAAGUCUGUCCGAAUCAUGUUAGCAAUUGCCGCAUUUUAUGAAAUCUGGCAAAUGGAUAAACAAAACUGCAUUCCUUAAUGGAUUUAUUAAAGAAGAGUUGUAUAUGAUGCAACCAGAAGGUUUUGUCGAUCCAAAAGGAGCUAACAAAGUGUGCAAGCUCCAGCGAUCCAUUUAUGGACUGGUGCAAGCAUCUCGGAGUUGGAAUAUACGCUUUGAUGAGUUGAUCAAAGCAUAUAGUUUUAUACAGACUUGCGGUGAAGCCUGUAUUUACAGGAAAGUGAGUGGGAGUACUACAACAUUUCUGAUAAGUAUAUGUGAAUGACAUAUUGUUGAUCGGAAAUAAUGUAGAAUUAUUCUGCAAAGCAUAAAGGAGUGUUUGAAAGGAGUUUUUCAAAGAAAGACCUCGGUGAAGCUGCUUACAUAUUGAGCAUCAAGAUCUAUAGAGAUAGAUCAAAAUGCUUGAUAAGUUUUUUCAAUGAGUACAUACCUUGACAAGAUUUUGAAGUAGUUCAAAAUGGAACAGUCAAAGAAAGAGUUCUUGCCUGUGUUACAAGGUGUGAAAUUGAGUAAGACUCAAAGCCCGACCACGGCAGAAGAUAGAAAGAGAAUGAAAGUCAUUCCCUAUGCCUCAGCCAUAGGUUCUAUAAAGUAUGCCAUGCUAUGUACCAGAUCCAUUGUAUACCCUACACUGAUUUUGGCAAGGGAGUACAAUAGUGAUCUAGGAGUAGAUCACUGGACAGCGGUCAAAAUUAUCCUUAGUGGAAUAAAGAUAUGUUUCUCGAUUAUGGAGGUGACAAAAGGUUCGUCGUAAAGGGUUACGUCGAUACAAGUUUUGGCACUGAUCCAAAUGACUCUAUGUCUUGAUCUGGAUACAUAUUGAAAGUGGGAGCAAUUAGCUAAAAUAGCUUCGUGCAGAGCAUUGUAGACAUAGAAAUUUGCAAAAUACAUACGGAUCUGAAUAUGGCAGACCCGUUGACUAAACUUCUCUCACAAGCAAAACAUGAUCACACCUUAGUACUCUUUGGGUGUUAAUCACAUAGCGAUGUGAACUAGAUUAUUGACUCUAGUAAACCCUUUGGGUGUUGGUCACAUGACGAUGUGAACUAUGGGUGUUAAUCACAUGGUGAUGUGAACUAUUGAUGUUAAAUCACAUGGCGAUGUGAUCUAGAUUAUUGACUCUAGUGCAAGUGGGAGACUGAAGGAAAUAUGCCCUAGAGGCAAUAAUAAAGUUACUAUUUAUUUCCUUAUUUCAUGAUAAAUGUUUAUUAUUCAUGCUAGAAUUGUAUUAACCGGAAACAUGAUACAUGUGUGAAUACAUAGACAAACAGAGUGUCACUAGUAUGCCUCUACUUGACUAGCUCGUUGAUCAAAGAUGGUUAUGUUUCCUAGCCAUAGACAUGAGUUGUCAUUUGAUCAACGGGAUCACAUCAUUAGGAGAAUGAUGUGAUUGACUUGACCCAUUCCGUUAGCUUAGCACACGAUCAUUUAGUAUUCUGCUAUUGCUUUCUUCAUCACUUAUACAUGUUCCUAUGACUAUGAGAUUAUGCAACUCCCGUUUACCGGAGGAACACUUUGUGUGCUACCAAACGUCACAACGUAACUGGGUGAUUAUAAUGGUGCUCUACAGGUGUCUCCGAAGGUACUUGUUGGGUUGGCGUGUUUCGAGAUUAGGAUUUGUCACUCCGAUUGUCGGAGAGGUAUCUCUGGGCCCACUCAGUAAUGCACAUCAUUAUAAGCCUUGCAAGCAUUGUAACUAAUGAGUUAGUUGUGGGAUGAUGUAUUAUGGAACGAGUAAAGAGACUUGCCGGUAACGAGAUUGAACUAGGUAUUGAGAUACCGACGAUCGAAUCUCGGGCAAGUAACAUACCGAUGACAAAGGGAACAACGUAUGUUGUUAUGCGGUUUGACCGAUAAAGAUCUUCGUAGAAUAUGUGGGAGCCAAUAUGAGCAUCCAGGUUCCGCUAUUGGUUAUUGACCGGAGACGUGUCUCGGUCAUGUCUACAUUGUUCUCGAACCCGUAGGGUCCGCACGCUUAAAGUUCGAUGACGGUUAUAUUAUGAGUUUAUGUGUUUUGAUGUACCUAAUGUAGUUCGGAGUCCCGGAUGAGAUCGAGGACAUGACGAGGAGUCUCGAAAUGGUCGAGACGUAAAGAUCGAUAUAUUGGACGACUAUAUUCGGACAUCGGAAAGGUUCCGAGUGAUUCGGGUAUUUUUCGAAGUACCAGGGAGUUACGGGAAUUCGUCGGGGAGUAUAUGGGCCUUAUUGGGCUUUAGGGGAAAGAGAGAGGAGAGGCUGGGCGCCCCCCAAGGCCUAGUCCGAAUUGGACUAGGGGGAGGGGCUGCGCCCCCUCCUUCCUUCUCUUCUAUCUCCCCUUUCCUUGACUCCUACUCCUACUACUUGGAAGGGGGGAAUCCUACUCCCGGUGGGAGUAGGACUCCUCCUAGGGCGCGCCAUAGAGAGGGCCGGCCCUCCCCCUCCUCCACUCCUUUAUAUAUGGGGAGGGGGGGCACCCCUUGGAGAUACAGCAAUUGAUCGUUUGAUCUUUUAGCCAUGUGCGGUGCCCCCCUCCACCAUAGUCCACCUCGAUAAUACUGUAGCGGUGCUUAGGCGAAGCCCUGCGUCGGUAGAACAUCAUCAUCGUCACCACGCCGUCGUGCUGACGAAACUCUCCCUCGACACUCGGCUGGAUCGGAGUUCGAGGGACGUCAUCGGGCUGAACGUGUGCUGAACUCUGAGGUGCCGUGCGUUCAGUACUUGAUCGGUCGAAUCGUGAAGACGUACGACUACAUCAACCGCGUUGUGCUAACGCUUCCGCUUCCGGUCUACGAGGGUACGUGGACAACACUCUCCCCUCUCGUUGCUAUGCAUCACCAUGAUCUUGCGUGUGCGUAGGAAUUUUUUUGAAAUUACUACGUUCCCCAACACCACCGACACGCCGGGCCCGCUAUUUCGUCUGCUAUUUGACGCAUUGGGCGUUUUUAGCCUGUUUUACCUAUUGGGCCAUAUAGAGAUGUAUAGAAAAAAAAACCGUAAUCGAUCCGUGCCGUGCCAGCCCGUGUGCUCAGGCUACCAGCCCAAGCACGGUCCAGGGCGUGCCGCAUGCCGGGCCCGUUCCGUGCCUGGCACAUGGCGGGUCGUGCCGGCAUGCUCAGGGACCGGCCUGGUUAAUUAGCCCGGCCCAUUUGGGCAACUAUAGUGUGUGUGUGAUCACUGCAUUUAUAUGUUUGGCCAAAUAGUUGUCUAUUUUUCGUAGAAGAGUUUCUGAAUACACUUUAUGUGUGUGUAAUUUGUUUUUUUUAAAACGUGUGUGUAAUUUGUUGGCAUCUAGAAAGUACUAGAGGAAGUUGCUACGACCGUGUUGGCAGAAGCUGCAGCCAGCCAUGGUGGAGCUAACCGGCUUCGACUCGUGUCACGACUGGCGGUGGCAAAAGCUACAACUGGCGUCGUCUCGUGCUAUGACUUUUGGCGGCGGAAGCUACAACCGGCCACAUUGACCGACAUAGGUUUUUUGCUGGAACUAACGGUGGCAAAGCUGCAACCAGCGACGUCACUUGCUGGAACUGGCAACAUUGAGUGUUGGCACUGGGUACGGCCAUUUGCUAGAACCAGCCACAUAGAUUGUUGGGACCGAAAGGACGAAGCAAGCGGAGCAGAUCCGACGGUUCACAUUAGUCGCAUCCUACGGCGCGGAUUGCGACCGAUCGAGGCUGGCGCCGAUCGACCGGCGCCUGGCAAUGGCCUAAACCAAAACGCACGUGCUUCUCGCAGUGGGGAGGUGGGGAAAUGGCGUCGGUGAACAGUUGACCACUCGAUCUAUCCUCCUCACUUUUCCUAUUUCCACUCCACCACGCGGUUCGGGCGCGCUCCAACUCCCAGCUCCAUAAACUCCAGAUCCAUAGGAGUCGGCGCGCUGCAGCUCGUCCGCCGGCGGCAGCCCUCCCCACCGCCGCGGCCUGCCUUGCCCCGCCUUGAGUCGCCUUUCACCGCCGGGCUCCCCCCUUGUCUGCCUCCGGGCCCCUCCUUUUCUGCCGCCGUCGUCGACCAUCUCCGCCGCCGUCCCCGACCACCGGACUCCCUCCUUGUCUGCCGCCGUCUUCCCCGACCACCGGACCACGCAGGCUGUGCGCCUCCUCUGCCUCCCCGACCACCUCGCAUAUCAACUGAAUCACAGUAGGUGAGUGAAAAAAAUUGCAUUUUUCUUUGAUUGGUACUAGUAUUUUGCUGCGAUGUGCUACGGUGGUGUGCUGCUGCUAGACUUGUGGAUGGUCUGUAGGACUGAUGAUGUGCUAGGAUGCUCAUUUGGGGUUUGGGCGCUGGGGAUUUGGGGUUUCGAGUAUCAGAUCUCUGGGCGAUCUGGUCCGGCACUGGUGGUUGGUGGCGAAUGCCGCCGGUUUUCGGUUAAGAUCUCGCGAGCUUGGUGAACCCUUCGGAUUUUUAGAUUCACAUCUGUGUGAAAGGUGCAAAAUUUGCGGACCGAGAUCUGAUCCUGCUUACUCAAAUCUCCUGGAUCAGUGCAAAUGUGUGGGCAUUGUGUGUUCCGUUGGGAACCACAUGAUUACUUGAUUUAUUGGGACCAGGGGUUUAGUUUGUUCUUACUUGCAGUUGAGUUGUGCGUCAAAGCUUGGUCUCGUCAUGCCUGAGGAAAACACUUAGCAUUACGAUUUGGUACAUGGAUAUGUGUAAGAUCAAUCUCAAUCCGUAUACAAUACAGGUCUCUAUGGGCAUGUUCAUCUAGAUUAGCAUCUUUACUUCAUAAACGGCGCAAAAAUUCUGAGUAUCUUGGAAUGCUUUCUUUCCUUUUCUGGGAAUGUGAAGGUUGUGACUGUGUAAACUGUGGGUCCUACAAAUUGCAGUUUGCAUUUAAAGAAUAGUUGAUGAUAGUGUAGGAUUCUAAAUCUUUUUCUCACAUUGCAUAAUGGUAAAUGUAAUAUGCAUGCCUUGAUUCAUCUAAGAUCUAACUGAGCGGUGUUGGUUUUUCCAUCUCCAUUGAGCAGGUCGCUUGAGUUAAUGUGCACCAUAUAGUGCUUUGUCUCUGUUAAAUUGCUUAUGAGAUCAGUAAACUGCUAUGGAUAUAUGAAGCACAGCUGAAGAAGCCCAUAGUGUUUCAUACCAGUGAAUGAUCAAUAUUUUGUCUGUUUCAGAUCUUAGUACCACUAGAGAUGCAAGGAAGAAUGACAGAUUUAUGGUAAACCCUGGUAAAUAUUCGUGGGAGGUCAACAAGUGGCGCCCUGAUUAAGACUGCUACAACACUUUGUGGUUCAUCUCUAAUUAGUGAUGGCGAGAAUGAAGAUCCCAAAGCGUUAUGUCAUAGUAUUGCUGACAUUCAUCUGCACAAAUGUUUGUUACGUUGAGCGUGUGGGUUUCUCGAUUGCGUACACCGUAGCAGCUGAUGCAAUCAACGUGAAUCAAGCAAACAAGGGCCUGAUACUCUCCAUGUUCUAUUAUGGUUAUGUUUUGUCGCAAAUUCCUGGUGGAUGGGCAGCUCAGAGAUUGGGAGGCAGACGUGUUCUGCUACUGUCAUUCCUGUUGUGGUCUUUGAUAUGCGGUCUAAUUCCACUGGACCCCAACAGAGCAGUCAUUCUGGUCCUUUCUCGCCUUUUUGUCGGUGUAGCACAAGGUUUCAUAUUUCCUGCCAUUCACACAGUCCUGGCACAAUGGGUGCCACCGCAGGAGCGCUCUCGCUCAGUGUCAUUAACAACCUCAGGGAUGUACCUCGGGGCAGCUUGUGGCAUGUUGUUUUUUCCAAGUCUGGUGAAGCACAUGGGACCCCAAUCUGUAUGUUUAGUCGAAGCAGUACUUGGAGUAGCAUGGUCUGUAAUAUGGUUGAAGUUCUCCAGUGAGCCACCUCGCACUGACCUUCCAAAAGUGGCAAUGCCAAAAGUAGCAUCUCGGGAGAAGAUUAAGGCGCAAUCAGUAGGGGUUGUUGCACCUCGCACUGUAAAGAUACCAUGGCGAAAGAUUAUCUUCAGUCUACCUGUUUGGGCAAUUGUCGUGAACAACUUCACCUUCCACUAUGCCUUGUAUGUUAUCAUGAACUGGCUGCCUACCUAUUUCGAACUAGCCCUUAAGCUUAGCCUCCAGGAUAUGGGAUCGUCAAAGAUGCUUCCCUAUUUCAACAUGUUUAUAUUCUCCAACAUUGGUGGAGUGGUUGCUGAUCACUUGAUUACAAAAAGGAUCUUAUCAGUUACCAAGACAAGGAAGCUCCUUAACACCAUUGGGUUUGUUGUCUCGGCUGUUGCACUCAUGGCCCUCCCUUCAUUCGGGACGCCCUCAGGGACUGUGAUCUGUUCAUCGGUGUCUCUUGGCUUUCUGGCUCUAGGAAGAGCAGGGUUUGCCGUGAAUCACAUGGAUGUUGCUCCAAAGUUCGCCGGCAUAGUGAUGGGGGUUUCCAAUACAGCUGGGACAUUGGCUGGGAUAGUUGGCGUUGGCCUCACGGGAAAUAUUCUGGAGGCUGCAAAGGCUUCUAACAUGGAUCUAACGAACUCCGAAACCUGGAAAACAGUCUUCUUUGUUCCAGCAUACCUCUGUAUUUUUAGUUCAGUCAUUUUCUUGGUCUUCUCAACUGGUGAGAAGAUUUUUGAAUAGAGGAUGAUUAUUUUUGCCUGUUCUUUUCUUGUCAUUUACGGGCGGCGAGGCAGGAUAGAAACACGGGAAUCUCACAUGUAUUUUAUUCAUUAUACCUGUCAGAUUUCAGAGCUCAGACUGCAUCCCACACAUAUUAAGACUUAUGUUAUGUUAGGAGGAAUAACACUUGUCCGUAGUAAAUUGUGUUAUUUGGAAUGAUCCUAUGACUCUGUUAUUCCAGCUGGCUGGUUGGCCUAUUUACAAUACGUUGUGUAAGCUGGGCAUACAUCAUCUUUGUUUUGUAAGUCAUUUUCCUGGGGAUAGGAAACAAUGUGAAUUGUGCAGCAAGAAGUCAGGAUGACAUGACAACAUUUUGUUUGCUGGCAGGAUCUGAAAAGAAAAUGUGAUUGGUCUACAUUUGAUCUAAAUGAAAUUUCUAUUUAAAGGUAAAUCUGACUGGAACAUGGACGCUCCCUUUGGCUGUGUAGAGGCGCAUUUUUAUGUUUGAUAAACCUGCUGGAAGAUGUUUAUUUCACUGUAAGUGAGCAGUAGAACCUGAAAAACCUGUGCCCACACAUCCCUAGCAAGCUCCAUUCCUUUACAUUCACAUGUUAGUUCAACUAUAUUGGGUAAAGUUGAGGGCCUCUUUGAUUCAUAAGGUUUCAAAAACACAUUGAUGUGCAUAAUUGGGUGUUUAAUUCACAAGAAUAGGACAAGUACAGGAAGCCUAAAAUAUUAUGGUCAAAUUAAGAUUUAACCAUAUGCAAAGGUAAGAUGAAGAUAUUAUUAUAUGCUACUUAAGGCCUUUGCCUUGUUCUUCAUGCAUAUGAAUGUGAAAGAGAAAUUUCAAUGCUUUGAAUCAAAUGGAUAAAAUAGUAGGAAAAAUCUUAUUGAUAUGGUUUUCUUAUGAAUCACAGACACCAUCAAUGUAAAGUCUUGAGAAAACUACGCUUUGCAACCAGUAGUCAUUACAUAUACCGCUGUCCAUUGUGUCCUCUCGUGGAAAGUAGUAAUCUAAACGCUUUUAUAUUAGUUUACGGAGGGAGUAUUAUUUUUGAACAAGAGCAGCAGGGCGGGAUGGUGAUCCUACCAGCUUACAAUACAAGAUACAUUAACAAACAAACAAAAGGAAUAUAAAAAACAGAAAUCUUGUCCACGCGUCGGCAAAGCAGAGACAAUAGAUUCAUGGCCCUGUUUUCCCCAGUCAUCUCGCACAGUUCAAGGUUAGAGUAUAUGCUUGUGGACUUUUAUAUAGAAUAUGAGAAUGGGGAACUAUCAUUGAAAAUCUUUUGUCAAGCCAUCAAACGGGUGACAAGUGAAGUGUUUGGCUAUUUUUGUGAUUGUAAAUGUUUAUAGGGAAAAAUAUUUUUUGCCAGGUUUUUCAUCUAAAUAUUCGAUUAUGAGCACUACUUUUUUUUCCGUUGCAGCUCAAAUUUUUUUCCUAUGAAAAUUUUCAUAUCUAUUUUUCUGUAUCUUUCGAUAACAGAAAUUAAUUUUCUAUGGGAGUAUGUCGCUCGGAGACAUUUGGCAGUCUUCCUAUUCUGAAUUUCUUCCAGUAGCGUAGAGUUCAGACACGACUUGCUCUCUUAUACUUUUCAAACUUCUGGCACUAACCUAGUUGCUGAUGGCAUUACCACUUGAGAUAUUUCCACCCCCAAAAGUACUGCUGCGAGCGCUGCCUUCAAGUUUCGGUUAGUCCAAAGCGUUUCAAGAUGCCUCCCAUUCCUAAUGAACUACAGACGCACUUCCACUAACUUCUUCUAUUUGCCAUUCCUCUCACCCUCUCUCGAGGCUCUCAACUCAAUUCUUGUUAACUAGGAGCUACUUGCUUCAUAAGAAGAGCUAAUAUAUGAGGUGGGAGGAAGACUACGGUCAAAAAAUGGGUAUGCAAGUAUUGAGCAGGAGAAGGCAAUGCAUCCUUAUAUAAAGGCACGUGCCAUAGGCCGAGAGUGUUCACCUCUUUUCUGAAAAAAGUAUAGGAAGACACAUGUACAAGAAAAUAAAGUUGAUACCUAUGUGUGUUGCUUCAACUUUAUAAUGCGACCACAAGCACCUUACAUAGUAGUAUUGCUAGAAUCCUAAAAAAAAAUAGUAUAGCUAGAAAAAUACUCACUUCAUUUCUUUAUGUAAGGUGUAUUAUUUUUGGCACGGUGAUCAUGGCAUAAAAUUAGACAAUUUCAGACAAAACUACCCUUGACAAAUCAUUGGUUAGUGGCAAGUAAAUCAAUUAGUCCAGGAAAUAAAGAGGUAUACACAAUCAAGAGACAGAUAUUUUCCUUCUUUUCCUAGAAGGAGAUAUACAUGCAAUCAUAAGAGAGAUACUUUCCUAUUUUCUGGAGGGCUAAGAACGGAAUAAGGAGGAAUUAGAACAAAUGCACCUUAAUUGUGAAAUUUUAUCAAAAAACAAAUACAACUUUUUUUGAUCGGUAACAAAUACACCUUAUAUUAAGAAACAGAAGGAGUAUAUAACAAUAGUAAAAGAAACAGGCCCAGCCCAUUAAGAGAGGCAAGUCACGAACGAACGUGAUCUCCUUUCUUUCGUUCUCUCCGAUAACGCCGCUGCAAUCUCAUUCGUCUCCCAGUCUCUCCAUAUUUCUCUCCCCCAAUUGAUUGCCCCGAAUUCCUAAGAGACUCCAACUCCCCAAGCUAAUCAAUUAAUUUGUGUCACUGUCCCCAUGGAUUUCUUGGGUGUCUUUCAUCAUAUAACUAACCCCAAAGCCAUUAGUGGGCCGGAGAAGAGAAGCCGACGAGGACGCCAACCCGCGGCGUGGCCGUCCAUCGUCAAGGCUCUGCCAGGGUCCGAGCCUCCGAGGGUAGUAGGCGGUGGAGUAUUAUGCUAUAUGACGAAUUGAUGCAAUGAUAUUUGACCGGCUUGAUCUUUUCUUUUACGUCAGUACAAUGAGGUAGGUUCUGCUGUUUAUGACAUUGCUUGCAUUUGGAUUAUUGGAUAGCUGGAGCAUGGGAUUUCUUCCAAUGUACUCCAAAAUGAGUAAAUUAACUGUUGGCCUAACUUAUUACAAGUACCAGAGGAGUCUCGGGCAGAAUAAAAGCUUUCAUUACAUUGGCCCAACUUGUUACAAGUACAAAUGUUUACAUUUGUUUUGUUGAUUCUCAUCUACCUCAUGUGUUUUGCUCAAAGAAGUUUUUUUAACCCAUGUGUCAUAUAAUUUUACACGGAAACUCACGGAUAUUUUUAUUGUUGUAUCUCUUUUUUCCUUUCGAUAAACUUUCAAAUUCCAAAAAAAAUCAAAAUUUAAAAAACGUUUCAUUUGAAAAUAUUUUCUCAAAUUAAAAAAUGCUUGUGGUUUUCAAAAAUAUAAAAUUUGAAAAUAUAUUCACAAACUAAAAAAAUCGCUUUUAAAAAUAUGUUCAAAAUUUAGAAACAAUUUGAAUUUAAAAAAUGCUCAUGUUCUCCUAAUAUUUUGCAUUUUCAAAAAAUAUUAUUUUUUUUCUAAUUUUUUAUCGCUUUUGUAAAAUGUUCGCAAAUUGUAAAAAAACUUUCACGUUUUCAAAGUAAUGUCGUCCAAUUUGAAAAGAUUGUUCGUGUUUGCCAAAAAAGUGUAAAAUUUGAAACACAAUUCACGUUUACAAAAAUGUUCAUUUGAAAAAUUCUCUCGUUUUCAAAAUUUUACAUUUUUGCAAAAUGUGCAGAAAUUUUAAAUAAUUGUUUCCGUUUUUGCAAAAAAAAUAUUCUAAAAAAUUUCAAUUUAUAUGCUGCAGUAGUCUCGUUGGUUACAGAAUCCAGUUUCCUACAGGUCGGGUUGCUAUAGUAUCGGGUUGCUAUAAGAAACUGGUGCGCUAUAUAAAACCCGACCCGCUACAAUGUGUCUAAAGAAAAUACCAAGAAGCCCCUUGAAGAAAUUGGGGUCGCUACAUGUUUUUUUUUUUUUGAGAAUUGGGGUCACUACACGUGAGCGCGCCUCCGUGCGAGUGGGCUGGCCCAGGCGGGGCAGAGGGCACCUGUUUUGCACUGGCAUUCAUGUUUUUUUUUUUUGCUUGUGAUUGUGCUCAAAAGGAACUGUGCUAAUUUCAUGGUAUUUCACAACAAAUCGAGUUACAAUUUGCGUUUUCCCAUCCUGUUUGAUUUGAUCUCACAAGGUCUUAUGGCCUUAACCUUCACAUAUGUCCAGCAUGUGCUGGUGAACUGGUGAUAGGAAGCAACCGAGGCCUCCAUUGCAACGGCAAGUGGAGGGACGUAUUUCCGGAUGCUUCCCAUUUCCAACGCAUCUGACCCCUCCUGUUAUCAUGUCAUUCCCGUUUAUCACUUUCUUCUUUCCAUGUCUUAAUCUCAUUUGUGUCGAUUUGGCGGCUUCAAAUUGAGAAGCAGAGCUUGCUAAGAUGGGUAGUAGGCUAAAGGAAAAGGAGUGCCCAUCAAUUGGAUAUAUACUCAGCUGGGUUUGGAAGUAUGAAGAGGAGCCAUAUACUUUAUAUAUAUGUGUAAAUGGUGUGGGCCCGUGUAAAGAUCGUCAUAGUUUCUAGUUAAAUAUCUCCUGUGUACUACAACUCAUCAAUGAUCUCUUGCUCUAGUAAAGUAGAGGAUAGGUAUCUCAGUGGCAUUAGUGAUAUCUCAACUCAUCAAUUGUUUCUUGUUUCCAUCUCCAUGAACGUAGCAAGAAACCAGUUUCAAAAAAAGAAGUACCAAUAAACCUACAGACACUUGCAGAGUUCUUUUUCUCACUACUCUGCUAUUGAGGAGUAAAUAGCAAAAAGCUACCACAUUAUAGGCUAGGGUUACAAAAAACUACCUCUUUUCUUAAUUUCCCAAAAUGCUAGCACAAAUUUGGUUCGCUGUUCCAAAAAACACUAGUGAGUAAAGCGUUAACUUUUAACUGCGGUUAUGACAACUUUGGCCCACCCGUCAGGUCUGAUGUGGCAUAAAACUCAACACCGUUAGCUUUGGCCGUUAUGACAGGUGGAACCCACAUGUCAUUCACUUCCAAAAAAAUAAAAAGCAAUCGGGACCCUAUACCUUUCUAGAAAAGCAAUCGGAUCACUGUAAAUGUCUAAAAAAGCAAUCAAGUCCCUGUAACUUUCUAGAAAAAAGCAAUCGGGUCCUGUGAAAAAAAUUAAUCGGGUCCUGUGAAAAAAUUAAUCGGGUCCUGCUUGGCUGCCGGCGAGCUCAUCCCUGCUUCGGCUGCCGCGGCCUAGGGUCGCCGCGCGCGCUGAUCCUGGCUGCGCACCUUCCACUCGCCAGUGAGGAGAGCCAGAGAAGUGAUGGGAUGGCGAGGGAGCUCCAGCUCUCCCUUCAUUGGCCUCCGCCGCCACUCCCGUGUAUGUCCCUUCCCGCGCGCUUGACCGGGAGAGUCCCUCUUCUCCGGCACUGGUGACGCCAGCCCGGCCCGCUCACCCUCGCUUCCACGCUCCCCCCUUCCGAUACCGACGCAGCAGUGAGUAGCAGCAUGCAACGGCAGCGGCAUGCAGCAUCGGAGAAUUGCGGCGGCGGCGGUGGAGAGCAGCAGCAACAACAACACACAGCAGCAGCGGUAGCUUCUGCCCAUGGCGUUGGGGCUACGGGAGAGAGACAGAGCAAGGCGCAUAGGGUGGGUGUCGUGAUAUAGAGAAGAGAAGAGAAGGGAGAGAAGAAGCUGACAUGUGGGCCCCACCCGAUCAUAACCGUCAACUUAACUGUUUGUUUAUAUAACGGUGCUGACUUUUUUGCCACGUGGAACUGACGAGCGGGCCCUCCAUGUCAUAAACCAGAUUAAACCAUUCAGUCACUAGUGUUUUUGGAACAACAAACCAAAUUUGUGGUAGCAUUUUGGGAAGUUAAGAAAAAUGUUAGUUUUUCGUAACCCUAUCCCAUAAUGUGGUAGUUUUCUGCUAUCUACUCUUUGUUUAAAAGGGGAAGUUAAGAAGUUGGCAUCCAUGUAAUAUAUUUUUUGAAAAGGGAAAUAUAUUAAUAUCACGAAGAUGCCAAUUUCUCUGUUUAAAAUUUGCUCUAAAAGCCAAAUCAAAAUACACACAUAUUGUUUGAAUGGAUUAUAAUUUCCUCGUGGGCGCUGGAGCUCCACUCAGAUCUACCCACACUCAGUCAUACGAAGCCAAGGUCGGAAUGCUGCGCCGUUGUAGGAUCACAGCAAUCACACAUGCUAAGGUUGAUCCUGUGUGUUGGUCCGGCUCUAGUUGAUCCUCUGUGUCGCCAUCCAAACUCGGGAAGGUCAAGUGCCCACUGCCACCAUCACAACUCACAUCAUUGAGCGCCUACACUCGUCCAAGUACAAACAUCAUUGAGCGCCCAGUCAGACGAAGCCAAGGUCGGAAUACUGCUCCAUUUAUAGGAUCUGUCAGACCAGAGCCCUCCAUCUCCUUCGCCAUGGUCGCUCACUCGAUCACAGUUGUAGCGCACGCUAAGGUUGACCCUACAUGUUGCUCCAGCUCCAGUUGACCCCCUGUGUUGCCAUCCAAACCCGGGACAGUGAUGCACCCUCUGCUACCAGCAUAAGCGACCGAUCACCAUUCACCCAUCCCCACAAUGCCGACGUCCCCUCCCACUAAACCCUCUCAUGGCAACCCCAACACAAGCACCAAGAAGAAUUAGUUCUCAGAGUUCGGUGAAGAUGGCGAGCAGUAUAGGGGAAUAGGGCAUAGCGCUAAAUCACUCUUUGCAUUGUUUGUCGUAGGUGUGAAUUAUAGCAUGACUGAUUGUCUUUCUUCCUGUUCAUGUAGCUGGUCAUUGGUACUUAUCUUUACCAUGAGUGGUAGUCUGUUAUCUUGUUCUACAAUUUGGCGUUUGCCAACUUGGUAUACUGAUCGUUGUAGCAUUGCACUCUGCUUAUCUUUAGUGAAAUACGUGCACUGUGUGUUCUCGAAAUCAGCAUUGUACUCUGCUUCUCCUGGAUUAAAUAUGUGUUCUUGGAAGAAACACCGGACUACUUUAAGUAUUGCAAUAUAUUUUAUCAACAAGGUAAAUAGGUUGCAUGAAAAAAAUUCAGUCAGUAGCCAAAUUUAGUAAAUCAAAUAUCGAGGAGGUAAUUUUCUUUCAAUUGGUUUUGGAUGAAGAUCUAUUUCAGAUUAAGUACUACUCAUCUUAUUAACUUGUAGUUCAUGAUUUUUUAAUUGUAUUCAUAGAUGUUGAAUAUUUUUUUUCAAUAAUACAGGAGAUAACGUGAGUCUUCAUUAAAAGCUGCAUGAUUAGUAACUCCCAGUAUAGGAACAUCUUCCCAAUUUGGGCACUCGCAGAGUACCGGCACCGAGUCUUGGCUGGUGGCAGCUAGUACUUAUGUGUUUAGGGGCAAUGAAUUUGUGCAGUCUGUAGGAAUCUGCAGAUCAUUUAUUUAUUUAUGUAUGUUCAUUGUUGAUGAAUAUAUAACCCAAUAUGUAAAACAUAUAAUUUUGUGAGGGGUUCCGAUCUCUUUAAAACAUAAAUCAAUGCAAUUCUAGAUGGACAGAUAGUAGAGUUCAUCAGUUUAUGUCAUUGAUAAGAGCGACUUUUUCAGAGAGCUGUAGUAAUUUUCUGUAGAUAUAUUUCCACCAAAGGGCAAAUUAGGUUAAUGCCGAAAAUCAAAUCAAUUCUUUGGAUGGAAAUUUCAGUAUAUCGAAAUGUGGGCUUGCAGCAAUGGUACCGUCCUAUGCACAAUCCAGAUCAAAGCAGCGCAUUGUCCCCUUUGCUGAGCUCGCGGCCACCCCUAGUUGUGCCCAACCUGCACCCGCGAGAUGAAAGCCGAGUUCCCUCUAGUCUUUAACCUUCACAUCCUAGUCAUUGCAUAUUCUGCAUGUGGUGGAGAAAGGCAGCAAUCGACGCCUCCGUUGCAACAGCAAGUGGAGGGACGUUUUUCCGGAUGCCUCACAUUUCCAGCACAUUGCACACCCAUCUAACCCCUCCUAUUGUCAUGUCAUUCCCAUUUAUCACUUUCUUCUUUCCAUGUCUAAGUCUCAUUUGUGUCGGUUUGGCGGCCUCAAAUUGAGAAGCAGAGCUAGCUAAGAUGGGUAGUAGGCUAAAGGAAAAGGAGUUCCCAUAUACUUUAUAUAUAUGUGUAAAUGGUGUGGGCCCGAGUAAAGAUCGUCAUAGUUUCUAGUAAAAAAGAAAAUAUCUCCUGUGAACUACAACUGAUCAAUGAUCUCAGUGGCAGCAGUGAUAUCUCAACUCAUCAAUUGUUUCUUGUUUCCAUCUCCAUGAACGUAGCAAUAGACCUCAAACGAAAAAAAAA